RNAcentral lists this long non-coding RNA (49400 nucleotides) under Triticum aestivum (bread wheat). RNAcentral's name for it is "long non-coding RNA (TAES_LNC012746)". Lineage: Eukaryota; Viridiplantae; Streptophyta; Magnoliopsida; Poales; Poaceae. The record is from RNAcentral.
UCUUAUCAUGAUGUUUUGAGCAUGUUCUAGUGGUUUCUAGAAGUAGCUCAGUGACCAUGUUUUGUAACGCACUACCUGUAGAUGCUUUCCUUGCCCUUUUAUACCAUGAAAUAUUCCUGUAGCAUAUCCUUUUUUUUGUCUCAAAGUAUGCAUCAUGAAUCUGUUUCCAGCCUACUUAGUAAUCUUGUCUCAAAGUCUGAGAAUCUGUUAUGAUUUGCUUACUUGUCUUCAUGAAUGUCAUUGAUCUAGAGGUUAUAUGGAGAUAUUUAGUAAUCAUGUUUUGCCAUGUUUAACCUUUAAUUUAAUUCCAUGCAUUGGUUUGCUAUGAUCGUGCAAUGUAGUAUCAUUGUUUCAUCCCUCCAACAUGUCAACAUGUUCUUUCUGCUCACAUGUAUGCCCUGUUUUUCACUAAGUCUUAAUCUGUGUUAUAAAGUUGCUUUUUACAUUGAUCACAUUGGUUUAACCCUGAUGCCUAUGAGACUUAACAUUGGUGAUAUUUUAAGCAUGUAAUUUGUACUUUGAGUGCAUAUCAAGUUUGUAUUCAUAUGUUUCCUGUAGCAUAUUGUUUCUUUGAUUGCAAAGUGCUUAGUUGCUGACUUGGGCAAAUUCUGUUGGAAACUUGUAUUGAGUGUAUGUGUUGAACCGUGGCUCCGUUUGGAGCAUGCUCUACAUGAAACUUGCUUGGCUUUGCAUGUACUUUCAACAUGCCAUGUUGCAUCCAUGGUUUGGAGUGCUUGUGAUUGUGUUUUGCUUGCUUUUCCAUCAAUACCAUGUUUAACUUGUUUUGCUCAUAUCUUCUAGGCCGUAGCUUCGAAUUAAAUGAACUUUGUAUGUAACUUGACAAGAAAGACGCAUAGAUCAUCAUGGUGCACUUUAACUUGCUGUUUAACAACUUCAAUAUAAUGUGUUAUUCAGAUCUGGACCAAUUUCGAAUUUUGCAUAUGGGGACUUACCGGAAUUAUUGUAUGUUGAUUCCGGCCUCAUUUAAACUUGCUUUGAUGUGUUGUUCUUGUAUGCCUCAUUUGUUGCCAUGAGUACCAUCAUGUAGCCUUGUCAUGCAUCAUACUUGGAUGAGCAUCAUGUCAUGUUUAUGUGUUCUGUGUUUACCAUGUUGUUUGCUUCUUUCCGGUUGUGCUCCUUCUCGAUAGUUCCUGUUUCAUUGCGAUCGUGAGCAUUCGUUCGACUACGCCUGUUCGUCUUCUUCAUGGACUCCUUCUUGUUCCUAACGGGAUUUCAGGUAAGAUGACCGUCACCUUGGAUCUCACUACUAUCAUUGCUAUGCUAGUUGUCUCGAUGCUCGAUGCUAUCGCUAUGCCGCGCUACCUACCACUUGUUUAUCAAGCCUCCCAAAUUGCCAUGAUAGCCUCUAACCUUUUUUCCACCAUCCUAGCAAAUCUUUGUUUGGCUAUGUUACCGCUUUGCUCAGCCCCUCUUAUAGUGUUGCUAGUUGCAGGUGCAGUUGCAGGUUGUUCCAUGUUGGGACAUGGAUAUCUUGGGAUAUCACAAUAUCUCUUAUUUAACUAAUGCAUCUAUAUACUUGGUAAAGGGUGGAAGGCUCGGCCUUUUUCCUGGUGUUUUGUUCCACUCUUGCCGCCCUAGUUUCCGUCAUACCGGUGUUAUGUUCCUUGAUUUUCUGUCCCUAACACGAUGAGGGUUUAUGGGCCCCUCUUGACAGUUCACUUUGAAUAAAACUCUUCCAGCAAGGCCCAACAUUGGUUUUACCAUUUGCCUAAUAACAACUAAAACUUGCAUAGGGACCGGCUAGCACCCGAGGAUUCUUAAUCAAACCCCCGGGCCAAGGCUCCCCAUGAGUGUUGCUCCAAAACAGAGUCGUGUGCGGCUUCCCCCGGGGCAACUCGGGUCUCAGUUGUUGUAUGCUGUGCUCAUCCGAUCGUGGCCUUGCUGGUUUUGUUUUACCAUUGUCGAAAUGUCUUGUGCACACUACUAGGGAAAACCCUAGUAGUAGCGCUUGUUUUAUAGCUAGCAGUAGCGCUUGUACGAGCGCUACCAUUAAGGCGCUACAGCUAACUAGUAGCAGUAGCGCUAGGAAGGGAGCGCUCCUGCUAUACCUAGUUAGCAGUAGUGCUUUCUUUGGGUCAGCGCUACUCCUAGUAGUAAGUAGCAGUAGUGUUUCUUCUGAAAAGCGCUGCUGCUGACUUUUCCUGUAUUUUUAAAAAUACAACUUAUUUUCGUUGUGGUUUUAUAUACAGUACUUUCAUCAAUUGAUUUUAUGACCAUGAUUACUUAUUAUCUAUAAAAGUGGGUGAAAUGAACGUGGAGUAGAUUCAAGUGGAGGCAACAUGUGGUGCAUGUCGAGAGUACUACUCUAAUCCAAACUUGAUCUAGUUUGGAUUAGUAGUACUUUUGAUGUGCAUCACGUGUUGCCUCCACUUAAAUCUAAUCCAUGUUCAUUUCACCUACUGAUAUAUAUAAUAACUCAUCAUGCUCAUAUAACAACUUAACAUCAUGCAUCAUCGAUCAUAAUAAUGAAUAACUCAUCAUUGGUAUCAUAAUAACAAGUCAUACUCAUCAUCAUCAAUCACACAAGUUCUACUCGAUACCACAUCAUCAUCAUAGUCAUCUAACCAAUCAUACUUAGUUGUUCUUAGCACAUGAUCAUGAGUAUUAUUAACUAGGACCUACUACCUUCUCUUAGGUAGAAUAGCAUAAAACAAGAUAGGCCCUGACUCUUCAUUAUGGAGAAUGGAGAUUAUCCUGUCUCCAAUUCUUGCCUUUCGCACAAUGUUGCUUCCAAGUACGUCCUUACGACUGUCCAUACAUUUUUCCAUUCUUUGAUUUUCAUGUCUUCACUGGUUUUAGAAAUGCGAUAUGGACAUGUGUGAUUCGUAGGAUGACCUUGUUGUAUGUUCAAAACAUCAAGGCGGCCAUUCUGAUACAUCAGAUGAGGUACACAAUCCUUCGGGGUUUUCUGUUGAAAAACAUAGUAAUAACUUCGUAGUUAGCAAUGUAGUUAAGUUUUAAAAGAAUUUAUGCAAAAGAUGUACGGAUGUCGUAAUAGUAAAAAAUCUUACCAUGGCAUCUCCAUGGAUGUUAUCGUAGUUCAACACGUGCACUAGUGGCACGUAUUGACCAUAAUGUGGAGGAGUUUUAUAAUAGUUAUUGUAAUUCUCAAGAUCAGUACAAAAUGCGACGAGAUGAUUUUUCUCCUGAUUAGUUAACUCAGAGCCAUCGGUGUAGUAGGUUCCGUCUACCAUCUUCCGCACAUUGUUUGAAGAAUGAAAAUAAGCUGUCAAUGGAAAUAAGCUGUAAACUUUUUUUGAAAUAAACAAUAUAAAUUAGUUAAUAACUAUGUUUGAGAAACUCAUAUAGCGGUAGAAUUGGAAGCGUAUGAACAAGGACCCAAAUUUCCAUAUUGUCUUGGUCGAUGUCAGGAUCACCAAGAUCCAUGGUGACAAGCAUACCUCAUAAAAAACCAUACAUCUUGCAAAGUGGUUCCCAAUUUGUGCAACCAAAAUGGGUUACGCUCUCAGAAUUGUAAAGAUUUACUUGGAAAUCCAUACCAUGAUGGGUCGUUAGGUGAAUUUUCUUUGUUUCGAAAUUUUCAUGGUCUUCAAAAUCCAUCCUCUCCAAGACAUAGCGUCUUGCAUGGCAUGGGAUAAGCUACUCGAAUUGUAAAAGAUGAAAAUUACUCGUUGAAAUAGUUGAAGUCAUCCUUAAUUAUGAAAAAAACACUUGUCGUCGUUGCGUACCGUUUCAACAUCGAAGGUCUCCUGGAGCUUAAUGCUGAAGCGCUGACCUUCGUCCAGGUGAGGCCUGUCGCAUUGACACCGGUUGUCGUUGCACCAGUCGCACUCCCCCGGGAGACUUUCGUCGUCUGAUAACGACAUUUCCUAGGUUCAUAAUUCAAAGAUUAAACUUGUACAAUUCAAUAUAUGUACUACAAAAACUAAACUAGAUCAUUAUUAUUCAUCACGGGUUGACUAUCGGUCUGCCGAGUCUUUUUCUUGAAAACUCUGCUCGCGUGGUGUAUACAUUCGACCGUUGGUGAUGAUCGCUCCUCCUUUCGUCCCCGAGUGCAUUGCACCAAAAUGUCUAGCACACGGGAAUGAAGGAGAAGCGACCCCCACGACAACAGUUGGGAUUUUUCGUCCUCUCAUAUGUGGUGGAGACUCUCACUCACUGAUUCCUCUCUAACAUUUGCGACCGUCGGUGAUGGUCGUUACUCCUCCUUCCCCUAGUGCAUAACAAAGGUCUAGCACCCGGAGAAGAAGGAGAAACGGCCCCCACGACAACAGUCGGGCUUCUUCGUCCUCUCUCAUAUAUGGUGGAUACACUCCCUCACUAAAUUUUCCACCUUCGGUGAUGGAGCCUCGACAGACUUAAAGUCAACCUGAAAUGUCGUUUAAUUAUUUUUCUAGAAAAUCCAGGCCACUCGAUAUUUCCUACAUAUUCUAGCACAGGUCAUGCCAGAAUUCACGGAAAAAUCCGGCAUGACCUUUGCUAAAAAAGGACAUAUCGAGCGCCUGAAAUUUGCCGGAACGGAAAUUAAUCAAAACUCUGGCAAAACAUAGGCCACUAUAGGAGGUGUAACCUACAAACAUGGCCGGCCACUUGGGCAAGCACAUAUCGUAUUUGAGCAACACAAGAUAUACAUGCUUAUAUCUACAUCAUGAGCAUUCAAACUUGAUGGAGUAGUUUUCCAAUUUGAGCAUUCAAUAAGCAAAACCAAAUCAUAAAAUAAUUUAGUAUUCAAAUUAGCAUUCAUUCAAUAAGCAAAACUAAAUCAUCUCUUUCGUCCGUACAUCAUCGAAUAUUAUCACUAAUAGAUCUCGAAUAGUAUCAUACAUAUAACAUCACUAAUACAGCUAAAACCCUAGCGAACAACGGGUAUCGGCGCGGGCGGUGGACACUCAAAGAGAAGGAGCCCUCACAGGAUCAUAGCUCCAGUGAGAUCCCUGAAGAACCUCCCAGGUAUUGGAGAACCUGCCCUCCAACGCAACCAUGUAGCGACGGACGUGCUCGUCCUCCUCGCUGACACGGUGACGUACCACCUCCGCGAGGUCCUCAAGCUUCUGCACCAUCACUGGCCCACGCGAUCGCUACAAAAGAAGGUUCGGGUCAACGACGUGCUGGCUCCUUACCAAGCUGCGCCCCCCCCGAAGGUAGCACCUCCCAAUACCAGCCCGGCGGAGCCCAGUCCCGGACAUGGCUCCACACCAAGCCCAGGCCUCCUCCGCCGAGUCGACGACGAGGAUGCGGGAUAGGCAUCAUCGACGCCGAUGCGGGAAUAAUUGCUUUAACUAAAAAAAUAACAACCAAAUGUGACACCUAAAACACCUAAAUUCUAUUAACUACACCUAAUUAAAAACCUACAUUUUGAACAUGAUUCGAUCAUAACUAGGGUUCAUACUACAUUAUUCUAAGAUUAAACACCUAAAAUACCUAAAUUAUAUUAACAACAUGGGGUGGCUGGUCUCACCUCGAUCGAGGUCGGAGGAGCUCGGUGACGAGGACGACGUCGGGGAUGAUCCAGGGGCUCCUUGAUUUCUGCAAAAAAAAAAUAUAAACAAAAACAUUAUUAUCGUCAUCUUAGGACUUAGUGAAACUCCAUAAGCUACAUUAAAUUAUUCUAUUCAAAUUUACUUAUUCAAAUUUUCUAAAAAAUUUCUAUUCUAUUGAAAAGACCUACAUCUACUUUUUUUCAAUUUCAUAUUUUAUUCUAUUCAAAUUUACUUAUUCAAAAUUCCUAAAAAUUUCCUAUUCUAUUCAAAAGACCUACAUUUACUUAUUUUCUUCAAUUUCAUAUUUUAUUCUCUUCAAAUUUUCUAAAAAAUUCCUAUUCUAUUCAAAAGACCUACAUUUACUUAUUUUUUCAAUUUCAUAUUUUAUUCUAUUCAAAUUUACUUAUUCAAAAUUUCUAAAAAUUUCCUAUUCUAUUAAAAAGACCUACAUUUACUUAUUCUUUUCGAAUUACUUAUUCAAAUUUUCUAAAAAUAAAAUAUACUAAAAACCUACAUUUACUAAAAAGAAAAACCUACAUUUAACAAAAANNNNNNNNNNNNNNNNNNNNNNNNNNNNNNNNNNNNNNNNNNNNNNNNNNNNNNNNNNNNNNNNNNNNNNNNNNNNNNNNNNNNNNNNNNNNNNNNNNNNNNNNNNNNNNNNNNNNNNNNNNNNNNNNNNNNNNNNNNNNNNNNNNNNNNNNNNNNNNNNNNNNNNNNNNNNNNNNNNNNNNNNNNNNNNNNNNNNNNNNNNNNNNNNNNNNNNNNNNNNNNNNNNNNNNNNNNNNNNNNNNNNNNNNNNNNNNNNNNNNNNNNNNNNNNNNNNNNNNNNNNNNNNNNNNNNNNNNNNNNNNNNNNNNNNNNNNNNNNNNNNNNNNNNNNNNNNNNNNNNNNNNNNNNNNNNNNNNNNNNNNNNNNNNNNNNNNNNNNNNNNNNNNNNNNNNNNNNNNNNNNNNNNNNNNNNNNNNNNNNNNNNNNNNNNNNNNNNNNNNNNNNNNGGCCGCCGGCGGAGAGGGAGGAGAGAGGAGGGCCAUGGGAGGAGGGAGAGAGGAGGAGGAGGGAGGGAGGGGAGGGCGGCGAGAGGAGGAGGGAGGGAGGGAGGCAGAUACCUUGGGGGAGUCGGCGGCGACGGCAGGCGACGUGCGGCGAGUGAGUGUGUCAGGGAGAGUGAGGGACGCGCGCGAGGUGUAUAAGAUGAGCGUAGUAGUAGCGCUCUUUAGAAACAACCGCUACUGCUAUUUAGCAGUAGCGCUCGACAGAGGACAGUGCUAUUGCUAUGUACAAUAGCAGUAGCACUUUUUAAUUAAGAGCGCUACUAGUAUACCUACACUGCCAUGCAAACCGUUGGCAACUAUAGUAGUAGCGUUUUUUAUAAAAAACACUACUGCUAGAUGGAUAUUAGCAGCGCUCUUCGGUGACAAGCGCUACCGUUCUUUAGCAACAGCGCUUUCUUAUAAAAAGCGCUACUACUAAGCCCCUGUGUAUAAGCAUUUCCCUAGUAGUGGCACUGGGAUCCCGAGUCUGAUCGGAUGUCCUACGAUGGAGGAUUGUCUCCACGGAUCAUGAGCUUCUCAUGGGCUAAGUUGGGACACCCCCACAGGGUUUAAACUUUCGAGAGCCAUGCUCGCGGUUAUGUGGCUGACGGGAAUCUUUAAUAUCCGUUUGUAGAGAACUUGACACCAGACUUGAAAUAAAAUACACCAACCGUGUGCGUAACCGUGACUGUCUCUUUUUGAGUGAGUUCGAGAAGAGAACACGGUGGGGUUAUGUUCGUAAGUAGUUCAGGAUCACUUAUUGAUCUUUACUAGUUUGCGACCGUUUGUGUAGUAUCUCAUCUUACUCUUGUACUCCUAAGUUAGCCACCCUACAAUGCUUAGUCGCUUGCUGCAACCUAACCACUUAUCCAUUCCAUACCCAUUAAGCUUUGCUAGUCUUGAUACCCAUGGUAAUGGGAUUGCUGAAUCCUCGUGGCUCACAGAUUACUACAACAACAGUUGCAGGUACAGGUAAUGCGAUGAUCGUGACGUGAGAGCGAUGUUUACUUGCUUUGGAGUUCUUCUUCUGCUUCUCCUUUGUUUAGGGGAUAGGUUCCUAGUUGGCGGCCCGGGCUAGCAGGGUGGAUGUCGUUUGAGUUUCUGUUUCUGCUUCAUCCGUAGCCGGAUGUUGUUCUCAAGUAUGAUGUUUGAUGUAUUCUUGUGGCAUUUGUAUGCCCUAUGUAUGUAUCCCCAACUAUUAUGUAAUGGUACGAUGUAAUGAUAUCAACCUUUCAAAAGCGUUUCGACUAGCAGGGUGGGACCUUCGAGUUCCUCUCGGAUAGGAUCACAUAUUGGGCAGUUAAAAUUCACAAAUGGGUCCUGCCAGCUUUAAGGAGCCCACUUAAAAAGAACGAAUUCGUAGUUAGAAAUCGGCACAGUUAUGUGACGCCCCCGAUUCAAUCGUACACUAAUCAUGCACGCAAAUGUGUACGAUCAAGAUCAGGGACUCACGGGAAGAUAUCACAACACAACUCUACAACAUAAAUAAGUCAUACAAGCAUCAUAAUACAAGCCAGGGGCCUCGAGGGCUCGAAUACAAGUGCUCCAUCAUAGACGAGUCAGCGGAAGCAACACUAUCUGAGUACAGACAUAAGUUAAACAAGUUUGCCAUAAGAAGGCUAGCACAAAAGUAGCAACGAUCGAAAAGGCAAGGCCUCCUGCCUGGGACCUCCUAACUACUCCUCGAAGCCGAACUCCAUGUAGAAUCAUCCUCGGGAUCUCUAGCUCCUAGACUCCAGCAUCUGGUUGCGACAACCAGGUAGAAUGGAAAGGGGGGAAAGAGGGAGAAAAGCAACCAUGAGUACUCAUCCAAAGUACUCGCAAGCAAGGAGCUACACUACAUAUGCAUGGGUAUAUGUGUAAAGGGCCAUAUCGGUGGACUGAACUGCAGAAUGCCAGAAUAAUAGGGGGAUAGCUAAUCCUGUCGAAGACUACGCUUCUGGCAGCGUCCAUCUUGCAGCAUGUAGAAGAGAGUAGAUUGAAGUCCUCCAAGUAGCAUCGUAUAGCAUAAUCCUACCCGGCGAUCCCCUCCUCGUCGCCCUAUUAGAGAGCGAUCACCGGGUUGUAUUUGGCACUUGGAAGGGUGUGUUUUAUUAAGUAUCCGGUUCUAGUUGUCAUAAGGUCACGGUACAACUCCGGGUCGUCCUUUUACCGAGGGACACGGCUAUUCGAAUAGAUAAACUUCCCUCCAGGGGUGCACCACUUAACCCAACACGCUCGAUCCCAUGUGGCCGGACACACUUUUCUGGGUCAUGCCCGGCCGCGGAAGAUCAACACGUCGCAGCCCCACCUAGGCUCAACACAGAGGUCAGCACGCCGGUCUAAAUCCUAUGCGCGCAGGGGUCUGGGCCCAUCGCCCAUUGCACACCAGCACGUUGCGUACGCGGCCGGAAGCAGACCUAGCCUACCAGGCGUUCCAGUCCAAUCCGGCGCGCGCCGCUCCGUCGCUGACGUCAAGAAGAGCUUCGGCUGAUACCACGACAUCGAGUGCCCAUAACUGUUCCCGCGUAGUUGGUUAGUGCGUAUAGACCAAAUGGCCAAACUCAGAUCAAAUACCAAGAUCUCGUUAAGCGUGUUAAGUAUCCGCAAACGCCGACCAGGGCCAGGCCCACCUCUCUCCUAGGUGGUCUCAACCUGCCCUGUCGCUCCGCCACAAAGUAACAGUCGGGGGCCGUCAGGAACCCAGACCCACCUCUACCGGGAUGGAGCCACCUGUCCUUUGAGCCCCCUCAUCAGAAUCACUUGCGGGGGCUCGACGAGCCGACCCGACUUUAGUCACCACAUGUGUCAUGUAUAUAAAGUAUAUAGUAUAUACCCAUGAUCAGCUCCCGAAGUGAUCACGACCCAGUAGUAUAGCAUGGCAGACGGACAAGAGUGUAGGGCCACUAAUGGAACACUAGCAUCCUAUACUAAGCAGUAGGAUAGCAGGUAAGGGUAACAACUGUAGCAACAAUGACAGGCUAUGCAUCAGGAUAGGAUUAAUGGAAAGCAGUAACAUGCCACACUACUCUAAUGCAAGCAGUAUAGAGAAGAAUAGGCGAUAUCUGGUGAUCAAGGGGGGGGGGGGCUUGCCUGGUUGUUCUGCAAGGAGGGGUCGUCAACAACGUAGUCAGACGAGGCACCAGCAGCGACGUCGGUCUCAUAGUCUACUGGAGAGAAGAGGGGGAAGAAACAGUAAAUACGGAGCAAACAAAGCAUCACAAAACAUAAUGAGGUAAUACGCGGUGCUAGGUAUGCCCUAACGCGGUAUUAGGUGAUACCGGCGAAGGGGGGAGACAUCCGGGAAAGUAUUCCCGGUGUUUCGCCUUUUCACGCAGAUGAACCGGAGGGGGAAAGUUGCGUGUUCGCUAUGCUAGGGAUGUGUGGCGGACAAACGGGCUGCGUAUCCGGAUUCGUCUCGUCGUUCUGAGCAACUUUCAUGUACAAAGUAUUUUCAUCCGAGUUAUGGAUUAUUUUAUAUGAUUUUUAUAAGUUUAAAUGAUUUUCUAAAUUUCCAGGAUUUAUUUUAAUUCAAAAAUAAAAGAGAAACUGCUAAAUGUACCCAGCCCUGUGUACACAGCAGUUUACACAGGGGCUGGCAUGUGGGCCAGGGGGACCCAGUUGACCAGUCAAUGUUUGACUGGUCAAAAGGGGGUGGGGCCCCCGUUUCAUUGACAGAUUAGGCUAAACAGGGUUUAAUUAAGUUAACUAGUGAUUAUGUUAUACUAAUUAUGAUUAAUUAAGUUAAUUAAUUAAUAUUUUUAUUAUUGUUAUUAUAUUUUUUUAAUUCUUUUUUUAUUAAAAACGUUCUGGGCAGUGGGCCCCGUUUGGCAGUGGCCCAGAGGCCUAUGCGGGUUUGGUCCAGCGGGUGCGGGCGCUACGGGUGCGUGGGCGCUGCGGGCGCCCGCUAACGGGCGGAGGCCACGACCCAGCGCAGCAGGGCGCCGGCGGCCACUGCGCUGGUNNNNNNNNNNNNNNNNNNNNNNNNNNNNNNNNNNNNNNNNNNNNNNNNNNNNNNNNNNNNNNNNNNNNNNNNNNNNNNNNNNNNNNNNNNNNNNNNNNNNNNNNNNNNNNNNNNNNNNNNNNNNNNNNNNNNNNNNNNNNNNNNNNNNNNNNNNNNNNNNNNNNNNNNNNNNNNNNNNNNNNNNNNNNNNNNNNNNNNNNNNNNNNNNNNNNNNNNNNNNNNNNNNNNNNNNNNNNNNNNNNNNNNNNNNNNNNNNNNNNNNNNNNNNNNNNNNNNNNNNNNNNNNNNNNNNNNNNNNNNNNNNNNNNNNNNNNNNNNNNNNNNNNNNNNNNNNNNNNNNNNNNNNNNNNNNNNNNNNNNNNNNNNNNNNNNNNNNNNNNNNNNNNNNNNNNNNNNNNNNNNNNNNNNNNNNNNNNNNNNNNNNNNNNNNNNNNNNNNNNNNNNNNNNNNNNNNNNNNNNNNNNNNNNNNNNNNNNNNNNNNNNNNNNNNNNNNNNNNNNNNNNNNNNNNNNNNNNNNNNNNNNNNNNNNNNNNNNNNNNNNNNNNNNNNNNNNNNNNNNNNNNNNNNNNNNNNNNNNNNNNNNNNNNNNNNNNNNNNNNNNNNNNNNNNNNNNNNNNNNNNNNNNNNNNNNNNNNNNNNNNNNNNNNNNNNNNNNNNNNNNNNNNNNNNNNNNNNNNNNNNNNNNNNNNNNNNNNNNNNNNNNNNNNNNNNNNNNNNNNNNNNNNNNNNNNNNNNNNNNNNNNNNNNNNNNNNNNNNNNNNNNNNNNNNNNNNNNNNNNNNNNNNNNNNNNNNNNNNNNNNNNNNNNNNNNNNNNNNNNCGACGAGGUGAAGGCAGCGGCAUCACGGCGAGGCGGCACCGGGCGGCGUCGGCGGCCUCCUCCUCUCGACCCCGAUCCAAUCGGGAGAGAGAGGGGGGAAGAUAUUUCGGGGGGGUGUGGGGGUGUCGGUGGGUGAGUGGGGGAGUAGGGGAGGUUAUGGGGUGCGGGGUGGGCCGGCCAGGUGGGUUGGCCUGGUGGCCCAGUGGCCAGCUGGGCCGAGGCCCAGCGGGGUAGGGGGGGUCUUUUCCUUUAUUUCUUUUUUUUGUUUCCUUUUCUUCUUUUUAUUUUUAUUUUUCUGUUCUGUUUUAUUUUAGAUAGACAUUGUUUUUAGCUUAGAAAAAAAUGAUAACAACUCCUAAAUUGAUGUUUGAGAACCACCCACUGCCAUAAAUGUUUUACCCCGAAAUAACUUAGUUUAGAAUUUUAUUAAUCGAAAAAGGUAUUCACUUAAUUGUUUUGCUGCAAUUCUGAUCACGUUAGAGUAAUUAAUUAUUUUAUAAAAAUGUUGUUUCUCCACCCAUACUAUCGAUGAUUUAAUUGUCACAAUAAGAACAUUUUAGUUUUGAGAAUUGAAAACUUUUAUUGUUUGACUUUAAUUCAAAUUUGAAUUUGGAUCGGUUCUGAACUAACACGAGAUUAGCAAUAGUAAUCGUGGUGACGUGGCAUGAUACCAGAGGGUUACUGUAGCUUGAUUACCCGGGCGUCACAAUUCUCCUCCACUACAAGAAAUCUCGUCCCGAGAUUUAAGAGGGGAGGUAAGGGGGAAGGGAUUUGGUUACGAAAUUCUAACGAGUCUUCUCGGUCUUAGUUUCUCUUCUCGAAGAGGUCGAUCCAUUACAUUGACGUCUUCAUUUCUCUGCUUCAGGUCAUCUUAAUGAAGUCGGCAUCCUUUCUUCGGGAACUCCAUCGUACUUACGAAAGAAUAAAGGAUGGGCAUUCCAGGAGAACAGACCUCUACAAAGUCGACUAUCUGGUCGAUAACAUCGAGGAAGGUGGCGGAAGUAACUCUCGAACUGGAACUUUAAGAAAAUAUCGAGAGCAAGGUAAGCAGGUACCAUGAGAAGUUUCAAGCGGGUAGGCAAUCAUUCGAUGCCUGAAACAAAGUGUAAAAGGGGUCCAGAGCAAUGGGAAUAAGUCUUGUGUCUGAUACCAGAAUUGAUGAUCCCACGGGAGGUGGCUCAUGAAUUAUAUAAGAGGCCACGGGCGAGGAACAUCCUUGGGAACAGGGGGUGUAUAGGAGAGUCAGGUUUCGAUCAUGUGGAACUGUGGGUUAUGGGCCCACCAUGUGGAUUAAAAGUAGGAGGAACGGUGACAUCUUGCACGGUCACGAUAGCAAGACAUGUCAGAGGGUAGCCUGUCGAUUAUGUCGUCAACAACGUCGGUACCAAGGGCAAGGGACGAAGAGAACCAUUUUCCUGCUCGUUGAAAUGAGGCGGACCAGUAGGAAAAGUUCUCGUCUAUCGGCGACCGAAAUGUCAUCAACAAAAGUAACGGGGCCUUACUGACUGGGUUGUACGCCGAGGUGUUUGCACAAGCAGGGAAUUAAUAGUGCUUAGAUCAUAAAGAUCACCAGAAACGUUAAACCAACCAAUGGAAAGGAAAAUAUGAUUAUCAGAUUAAACAGAACAAUGGAAAGGAAAAUGUGUUUAAACACAUAUUUCAGGGGUAUAUCCUUCCCAAGGACAAUGGUUAGAAGAGAACCAUUUAGGUUAGGGAAGAGGAAGUUCAUGACAUUACCCAAACAACGGUGUUUGAAUAAUUGAUAACGAAAAUUUAGCAUUGUGCUUCAAAUGUUUUUAUUGAAGAUCGGAGUACCACAGACAUGCUUCGAGAUAGCAUUGACAUGGUCAUUAGGUAAGGUCAGGCAAUGGAUACACAAAGGAUCCAUCAGGAACAACUUAUAAAGUAAGUCUUACCAUUUCCUCAUGGAAGAAUAGCUGACCUUGCUAAAAAGGAAAACUUAUAACAAUAGGUCCUCCGGCCAGGUGUGUUAGGCAUGACAUCACCUUACCGGGUCAUAAAUAGACCAAUGUUAUAACUCUUGGAAAUAUGUUCCAACCAUCAUAUCUGACCGAGAUUCAGAUCUGAUUGGUGUCAGGAUAACUCAGACUCAGGAUGCCUGAGAAGAAAGGUGCAACACAAAUUGUCGAAACGACAUCGAAGAUUCUCGGGAGAUGAACUAUGGAAGCGAGUUCCGAACAAGGGUUCAUCAUUAAAUCAAGGAGAGGUGAGGAGGUGACUGAUUGACUCAGCGACAAUCCAUUGACAUUUCCAAAAAGGAUGGAUUUCCACAACUAUGUGAACAAGGAGAUAACAUUAGCCAGAUCAAAUGACUUAAUGAUGUAUGCUGGAGGAAAACAUACACAAUUAAACAUGGUUUGAAAGGUGCAUUUGAAAUAAGGGUUGGGUUGCACGCCCAACGUCGGAAUGGCGAUUGAGCAACCAACACACUAAAUUGGAAUAAUUGUCCAUUAACUCUGAAGCAAUAGGGCUGCCAGUGAUAAUAAAUUCGCACAACAGAGUUCACUCAACACGGGGACCAAGAAGGGAAUGGUGAUGGCGAGAAGCAUCACUAUACCAAGAAUACUUAAGAGGUGGAGCAAUCCUCACAACAUUCUUGAUAUAGAAGACAGUAAUACUACAAGGUAGAACAUAACCUAAGCUAGAUAGCAAGGAUAUCAAGGUACAACACAAAACAUGAACAAGUUUGUGUUGGGAGAAGGUAAGAAUGUUGUCGAUGAUUACACAAAUCCUCGAGGAGCAAGGAUGGUAUUUCCCAUCAAGAAUUCGAUAGAUAUCUUGGAAGACCUCAGAAUGUUGAUGAUGAUCACGACACAUUUGUCGAGAGGUUCCACGAAGAAGCAAUCGAACAGCGACUGCAUCAAGCAAAGGGACGGUUGUAGCGAAAGAUAUUGGAUCCACGGAUACAACACCAACUCGGGAUCAAGCUUGUAGUUUGAGGUGGAACGAUAAGAUGAGGAAAUCGACGUAAGCUUAGCUCAUCAUCGGAAGUUGUGCUCCGGGAUUAAGGACCAGGUAGCACAGUUAAAAUCAGCACGAUAAUGAUAUAGCCGACUAGGCUAGGAAUGUCUUGAAGGAUUAUUAAACUCAUAAGCAACAAAAAUUACAUAGAGUUAUUGAAUCGGAGUGCGGAAUUGAUUCACUUAUCGGUGUCCUUGAGGGGUUCUAACAACUCAGAACCCGUUGGAAAAAUGGAAUCGGCAAGAAUAUUAGUUGAUGAAGAACUCAUAAGAAGUUAAGUAGUUCCUUGGCAUUCUCGAUAUACCAGGGGAGUAAUACUCGACGACAGACCAAAGUAGAGGUUGGACGAGGGUAUUGCUCUGCAAAGGACAAGUGCUUAAACUUGCACGAGAAAUGGUAUUUAAAGGAGAACAUGGUCAGAACCACGAUUGAAAAAGGCCAGAUCCCAGAUAUAAGAUGAACUUAUACCCAGGGCAUAAUUAAUUUAAGAGAAGCUCUAAUGAUAAGAUCUACAUCGUGUCCAUGGGCAUGAACACAAAGUUCAAGGUCGACUCCCACUUCUCCAAUGCAUAACCUUCCAUUCACUUCUCGCAUUCGAUGAAGUUGUAUGGUAGAAAAUUAUCUGGUAAAAUACCAGAAGGGUAUGGCUUGUGAAAACCUUCGGGUUCAUACGGUUUUAGGGAAGGUAUAGGUUCAAUCCAUCGGGGCAUCUUAGAAACAUAUACCUCAAACUUCAAGAGUAAAAUCACCAGCUCAAAAGUAGAGUAUGGUUAUCAAGCAGAGGAUACAAAUUACCAAAGGCAUUAUAUAUCCAUGGAAAUGAUCACAAGGUUAUUGAAUAUGAAGGACACUGUCAGAUAAUAACCCAACAAGGGGUCUUGUGGUCUACAACGGAGCUGAUGCGAGUAUCGGUACUCUAUCAGAGGAAGAAGGAACGAAAGGGCAUCGGACUAUAAAAACAACUGAGUAAUUCAAAGCUCAAAUGCAAAGGAAUUAUCAUUUCCAAAUCAAGGGAUCAGAAGCAAUGCUCUGAUUAGGGAUGGAUAAGUUGAAUAGCCUUAGGGGUACAAUCGACGACAAUUUGAUGAGUUGAGAACCAGCUCCUGUUCAAAAUGACAUCUGAGCCGGAAGGGUGAAUUCUAGGAUUCGACUGAGGAAUGCGAGCAUCCUCAACAUAUUGAAUCAACGGACUUAAAAUGAUAAAGACAAGGGAUGCCAAUAAGAUUACGAGACUUAUGGGAUUAACCAUAAUGCAAGCAAGCAAGAAUUUCAAGAGCAACAGGCUGCUCAGGAUUUUCGAAAGAUCGAAUGGUAUUUUGAACACUUUUGUGAAAUACUUGAAUCAACUGAGGGUGAGUGGAUACUCGGUAAGUGCGAGAAUUAUCCGUAGGGGUAUUCAGGUGACAAAGAAUAGCAAGGCAGUAAGCUCAAAGGAUUCUGGGAACAACAGAGAGAAUUUCGGGGUAUCUUGUAAUAACAAGAUCAACUGGGAAACAUUGUAUGAAUGGCGAGUAUACGUGGUUAUCCAUAGGAGUUUAUUGAUGAAAGGGAAUUGCAAAAGCGAUGAACACAAGUUCUCGAGUUAUCAGCGGAGAGUAUCUUCAGGGUCUUCACGUGCAGCAGACGAUCAUCAGUAAUAAGGGGCUCUCCGGGUGAAAGUGAUAACGAGAUCCUAAUGUUAGAUUUAGCAAAAUUCACUUAACCCGAAUAGAAGAGAGAUCAGAGUCCCAGGGUAUAGACAAGGAGUAAAAGAUCCUAAUACCACCCAAUGGCGACGUGGGCCCGUAAGCCACACAGCCAUGUUAGUAAAACAGUUUUCAUUGGCUAGACUCAACUUCGGCCAAGGAGUGUGGAAGGGCGAUUCCUACAGGCAGUAGGCUCUGAUACCAACUUGUGACGCCCCCGAUUCAAUCAUACACUAAUCAUGCACGCAAAUGUGUAUGAUCAAGAUCAGGGACUCACGGGAAGAUAUCACAACACAACUCUACAACAUAAAUAAGUCAUACAAGCAUCAUAAUACAAGCCAGGGGCCUCGAGGGCUCGAAUACAAGUGCUCGAUCAUAGAUGAGUCAGCGGAAGCAACAAUAUCUGAGUACAGACAUAAGUUAAACAAGUUUGCCUUAAGAAGGCUAGCACAAAAGUAGCAAUGAUCGAAAAGGCAAGGCCUCCUGCCUGGGACCUCCUAACUACUCCUCGAAGCCGAACUCCAUGUAGAAUCAUCCUCGGGAUCUCUAGCUCCUAGACUCCAGCAUCUGGUUGCGACAACCAGGUAGAAUGGAAAGGGGGAAAAGAGGGAGAAAAGCAACCGUGAGUACUCAUCCAAAGUACUCGCAAGCAAGGAGCUACACUACAUAUGCAUGGGUAUAUGUGUAAAGGGCCAUAUCAUUGGACUGAACUGCAGAAUGCCAGAAUAAGAGGGGGAUAGCUAAUUCUGUGGAAGACUACGCUUCUGGCAGCCUCCAUCUUGCAGCAUGUAGAAGAGAGUAGAUUGAAGUCCUCCAAGUAGCAUCGUAUAGCAUAAUCCUACCCGGCGAUCCCCUCCUCGUCGCCCUGUUAGAGAGCGAUCACCGGGUUGUAUCUGGCACUUGGAAGGGUGUGUUUUAUUAAGUAUCCGGUUCUAGUUGUCAUAAGGUCAAGGUACAACUCCGGGUCGUCCUUUUACUGAGGGACACGGCUAUUCGAAUAGAUAAACUUCCCUGUAGGGGUGCACCACAUAACCCAACACGCUCGAUCCCAUUUGGCCGGACACACUUUUCUGGGUCAUGCCCGGCCGCGGAAGAUCAACAUGUCGCAGCCCCACCUAGGCUCAACAGAGAGGUCAGCACGCCGGUCUAAAUCCUAUGCGCGCAGGGGUGUGGGCCCAUCGCCCAUUGCACACCUGCACGUUGCGUACGCGGCCGGAAGCAGACCUAGCCUAGCAGGCGUUCCAGUCCAAUCUGGCGCGCGCCGCUUCGUCGCUAACAUCAAGAAGAGCUUCAGCUGAUACCACGAUGUCGAGUGCCCAUAACUGUUCCCGCGUAGUUGGUUAGUGCGUAUAGACCAAAUGGCCAGACUCAGAUCAAAUACCAAGAUCUCAUUAAGCGUGUUAAGUAUCCGCGAACGCCGACCAGGGCCAGGCCCACCUCUCUCCUAGGCGGUCUCAACCUGCCCUGUCGCUCCGCCACAAAAAAAACAAAUUCAGUGCUUCAAAAUGCGUUUGAAAGUAGCUUUUUCAGAGUACUGUUUUUGUUUUUUUUGCCACGCCUUCUAGGAAUGUGAUUUUAUGACGAAUUUUUGCAGGCACUUAGAACUUUUGUCAAUGUUUCUCUUUUUGAUUUUUUUUCGAUUUUACUGUUCACCCGAGCUCAUUUGAGCUCGGGUGCAGAUUAGCCGCGUCCGCCUUAGGGAUAUCAUUACUAAACUUGAUGACAAUAGGAGUAUGAUCAUAUGAUACUGUGGGUAAUGGUAGAGCCAUAGUACUUGGAAAUGAUAUGGUCUAGUUGGAGGAGGUAAAUAUCUAGUCUAGUUAUUCCAAUAAUAUAUUGUCCUGCAUGUUGCUCCAAGUGUAGCUUGUGGAUUUGUGAGGGAUCUCCAUAAGAUCAAGUGAUUGAAUAGCAUUGUUGAAUAUUAAGAUAUUAUUAACAUAUUAUUGAUAUACGAUACUACAUCAAAUCUCCACUAAUUAACAUUGUAAUUAUCACCUAACAAAGGAAAUUGCUACACCAAAUUGCUCCCAUCCAACGCUUAAAGGUACUUCUAAAUAUUUGUACAUGCACAUAAUGACUUGAAAUUUCUAUAAAAAAAAAUUUCAUAGUGUGUAGUUCUAAAGCUUAUAAUUUUUUUGUUAAUUCAAACGCUAGUGUUCUAAGUACUCCUUAUCUAAACAAACUUAAUCAUAUGAACCAAGCAAAAACUAGUUUGAAUUUUGAGUACCUUGAAAAGGUUAGAGCUCGGAUUCCAAUUUAGAUAAACCUUAACAGCAAGUUAAUUACUAUACUACUUGUUUUCACUUUUCCUCUAUUUCUCUCUUUCACCACCGACAGGUAGGACCCGCAUAGGUAGAGAGAAAGUGAGCUGGACUGUUUGACCAAACAACUAGAUGGAAUAUGAAGCUAUGCGAUAUGGCAGCGACCGUAUAAUUACUGCAACAGAUUUGCUAUUUCACAUCUAGACGUGAAAUAGUUAUCACACAUCUAACUUUCUAACCACAUGAUUUAUACAUCAAGAUUCGUAUUUUUUGUCUUUUUUGUCAUUUAGUGUUUUUCCUGUACGUGCGUCGCUUGCACAAGUGGCAGGUCGUAGCGUUUAGGCCAGAAGCUUGUGAAUACAGGUUUUUUCACAGCAUCGUGUGUUUGCCUCCGUGUAGGCUGCGGCCAGAAGCGAUUUUUUUAUUUUCUCUUUUGACUUUAUCCUUUUUCUUCUUUUGUUCAUUUAUUUGUUUCAGUCCAUAAACUUUUAAAAUUCACGUUUUUAUUUUCUUUUUCUUUUUUCUUUAAAAUUCAUGAUUUUUCCCCAUAUUUGUUAGUUGAUUGUCUACUACCAAACAGGGGUUGUCUUUUUUACUUCCCGGUUGCAAGUCCACUCUUAGCUUGUAACGGUGGCCUGGCUUUUUUUUGUCCCAGUUACAAUCUCACCCUCUGAGUCUUGACAUUUUUUUGUCUCGGUUGCAUGUCCAUCCUUGACUCGCAAUUGGGCUAAUUUUUUUGUCUCAGUUGCAAUCCCACCCUCGACACAACUAGGUCUUGACAUUUUUUUGUCUCAGUCGCAUGUCCACCCUCGACUCGCAAUUGGGGCCCAAUUUUUUUUGUCACGGUUGCAAUCCCAUCCUCGACUCGCAACUGGGUCUUGACAUUUUUUGUCUCAGUUACAAGUCCACCCUCGACUCGUAACUGGGGCCCAAACUCUUUUUGUCCUAAUUGCAAGUCCACCCUCGACUCGCAACUGAGCAUCGACAGUUUUUGUCUCAGUUGCAAGUUCAUCCUCGACUCGCAACUAGGGCCCAAACUGUUUUUGUCCCAGUUGCAAGUCCACCCUUAACUCGCAAUUGAGGCCUAACAUUUUUGUCCCGGUUGCAACUUGACCCUCGAGUCGCAACUGGAACCCGAUCUUUUUUUUUCCUAAUUGAGAGUCCACCUUCGACUUAUAACCGGGGCCCGACUUUUUUUUCCUAAUUGCAAGUCCACCUUUCAACUAAUAACCGGGCCCUACUUUCUUUUGACCCAAUUGCAAGUCCAAAUGAACUCGCAACUGGGUUCGACUCUUUUUUUUAUCUCAGUUGCAAAUCCAUAAUCGACUCGCAACAGGGUUAAACUUUUAUUUGUCUUAGUUGCAAGUCCACUAUUGACAUGCAACUCGACCCUUGAUCUUUUUUUGCCGCAGUUGCACAUCAAACAACAGCUCGUAACUAGGGUCCCACCCUUUUUGUUCGUCCUAGUUGCAAGUCCAUCAUUGACAUGCAACUAGUUUGUUCAUCCUUUUUUUGCCCCAAUGUACUUUCUUAAAAUUCGCGAACAUUUUUCAAAUUGGUGUUUUUAAUUCAUGGACAUUUUGGAGAAGCUAAAAAUUUAACAAAUCAUGAACAUCUUUUCUAAUCUUUUUUUUAAUACAUGAACAUUUAUAAGUUGUCAAAGAAUUUUCAAAUUUAUGAACAUUUUUUAUCAUGAAUAAUUUUUAAAUUCACAAUUACUUUUUGAUUCAUAUUUCUUUUAAAUUGUUUUUUAAAUUCUCAAACAUUUCUAAUUUUUUUAAAAAAAAUUCAAAAAAAUCACAUUCGUAAAUGGGGUAGCUUAGCUAAAGGGCAUUCACCUAGAGGCAAGCUAUAUGAUACUCGAGAAAAGACCUAGAGGAUGCAUGCCAGGCUGGAGCGUGCAUGAUGCAUGCGUGCACCACGUUGCUUGGAAACUUGUGUUAAUCAAGUUUAGCCCAGAAUAUGAACCCCGCUUAGCUUGGGUGUCUAGCGAUGGUACUGGUCAGCCAGCCAGUGUGUGUUAUCGAUACCCAGCGAGGCAGCAAGAGGAAUAAAUGGAUUAUUUCUUCCCUAUCGUAAAACUUUUUUUAUAGUACUAGUAUAGAAAAAGCCCAGCCCAACCAAGAAACAACAACAAACAACGAUGACAAAUAAAAAGACAUGAAAAAAUAAAGACCACGAUGCCGGAAAUUGAAACCAGAUUUAGAAACACAUGACAUCAUGUUAGAUGUGAGAUAAUAUCUCACAUCUAGAUGUGACAUAGUCAAACCCUUACUGCAACGUGUAUAUAGUGAAUGUAUUGACCGUAUUCGUUAGUACAGUGACCAAAGUAAGUGUACACGACAAGUUCAAUGACCAGCGGUCCAUUUUUACUCAUUUAAUAAAGAUGCUCUCUGUCUAAUCUCGCUAAUGAUAGCUCCAUAGUUACCUCUACUAUUCCUUCCUAUGUCAUUGAUAACCUGUUUAGAGUCCAAUGCAAUAACCACAUUGUGGAUCAUCAAAUCCUCGACCAAAGAAAGGCCCUCCCGACACGCGAUGCCUCAAGCGUAGCCAGAUCCGUCAUUCCAUUUACCACCAACGAUGAGCUUCCCAUAUAAUUUCUUGAAAUAUCACGGCAGACUGCUGCUGCAGCCCCUCUUUCCAGUGACCGCGCCAAGGCAGCAUCUACAUGUAUCUUGGUGAAGCCUCGAGGAGGAGCUUUCGGUUUUGCCGUUGCUGCAGUGCGUGCGGCUGGGGCCCUGUUGAGACUUACUGGAAGAACCUCAAGGUCAGCAAUGAAACGACAUAUGAAUUGAUGUGUCCCUGAUGAGCUUUGAUAUACUACCUCAUGUAUGGCCUUUCUUCUUGCCCAUCAAAUUGCCGACAAUGUCAUUGCAAGCCUUGUGAAAGCAGGAUGAGAUAACAGAUCAAUCAUAUUGAAAAUCCACUGCUUCGCAUCUGCCUAGAUUGUCUCACAUAAAUGUUCGGCUAAAUCUCCAUCAACUAGGGCCCAAGCAUAUCUCACCAUUGUGCAUUCUAGUAGAGAGUGGCGCCACGAGUCUUGUGCUCCACAUAACCCACAUGAACUUGUUGUGGACAUCUUCCUAUGUGCUCGAACGUCUUCGGUUGGUGAAGAUUGUUUUGCUAGACGCCACAAGAACAUCCGGAUUUUACUUGGAACCGUUGUUCUCCACAAGAGCUUCCAUGGAUUUGCAUCGCGGUCCAUGCUUGAUGAUCAUGCCGUCCCAUCCAGCCAUGCAUCUCUUCUUUCGUGUCCACUAACAUAUUAAAGCUGACCAAACAAAACAUCUUCCACUCUUAUCAAAAUUCCAUGCGGAGGUAACCCGGGUAUCAACUGUGCACAAAGGCAUAUGUAAAAUCGCCGGUAUAUCAAUUGGAAGGCAAACCUCCUGUAGUCAUGGCAGGUAUAUGAAGUGGAAGGCUACGAUCAGGUGGUGCACGACGUGGACCUCCAGAAGCUCCUGGUGAGAUUCGGUGAGGACAGGGUGGAUCUCGUCGACGCUGAUGGGCCCACCCACUACGGCGCAUUCGAUGUGACUUUCAUGGCUUGCCUGCCCAAUAUGGUCGUCAUGGCCACAUCUGACGAGGCCGAGUUGUUGAACAUGGUCGCCACUGCCGCGGCCAUUAAUGGUUGCCCCUCAUGCUUCUCCUAUCCGAGAGGCAAUGGCAUCGGCGUCCCAUUGACGCAAAAGAACAAAGGCACUGCCAUCGAGGUACAUUAAUUUUUCUGAUCAAGCUCAUAAUAAGAUCCAAAUUAGUCGACGCACCUUUAGUACAACGUACACUAAAGCUGCGCCAAUUAAUUUGUAUCGGAGGAUUUAGAUCGGCAAAGGCGGGACUAUGAUCGAGGGUGAGAGUGUAGCCCUGCUGGGUUAUGGGUCCACGGUGCAGUGCUGCAUGGCGGUGUUAGCCAUGGUGGAGCAGCAUGGCCAGGGCCUCAGGGUCACCGUCCUGGAUGCCAUGUUUCGGCAACCCGUUGGAACACGCUCUCUUAUCAGGAGCGUCGCCAAGUACCACAAGGUGAUCAUCACCGUCAAGGAAGGGUUCAUCGGCGGGUUCGGCUGUCACGUGCCUCAGUCCCUCUUAAUACAAACCAAACCAGACAAGCUCAAGAUGUGUAGAAAUGUCAUCCUAGCACGAAGUUCACCAUGGAAUAGAUAUAAAAUCAUGCAUGUUAUAGAAUAACACAAUAAAGAUCACUGGCGGUCAAGUAGCUAGUGAGGCAAAAUCUAGAGUUACAACAAAAAAGAGGUGGGAUUUCACAAAGGUCUAACCAAGAUGUGGCAUCCGAUGUUAGUCAAUCACUGGAUAUAGUCCUCCAUACACAAACAUACCCAAGGCACCUCGCUCGUCAGCAACGUGCCUACGGAUCCUCCCAAAUCCCCCCUCUCCCCAAUCCUUUCCCCACGAGUUCUUGAAGCGCCAAUACUUAACGCCAUCAGGAUCCGUACCAUAACCGACAAUCAGGACAGCAUGCCAUGUAGUUGCGCUACCAUCAGGUAGAGCUUCGCACUCCAUGAUGCCUCCUUUGUAGUUUAAGAGAUCAGGCGUACCCUGUAGACAGACAACCACGGGCCGCUUUGCUACUGCUUCCUCGAGAGCAUCCUCGGUCGAGUCGACGCACCAAAAGCCUAAUAUACGUGUUGCUGCUGCUACCGUCUUGUCCCUCUGGCAACCCGAAGCACUUCUCUUGGCCAUGUAUGGGUAUGAUGAUUCGCUAGAGAGUCCAUUAUCCCGUAUGUACUUGAAGGAAUGUUGAGAGUAGCCACCGUUGCAACCGUUGUUCUCCGUGUUGCAGUCGAUAAGCUCUUGAACCGAUAGGGAGAUCGAUUGCAAGGUCUGCAGAUAGUGUCCUGCUUCGACUGAUGCUGUCGUAGCCAUGGCCCAACAACAGCCUGCAACAAAUGUGCAAGUUAAGGUUGUGGUGUAUGCUAGCUAUGUCAACAAUUGUGAUGCGUAAUUACUCUUAAUUAAGCGACCCCUGCCCGCGUAGCUGGAAAUAGCCUACUACAUCUGUAAAGUAAUAUAAGACCUUUUAGAUCACUACGGAAGGAGUAAGAUCUACUAAUUGAGCGAAUUCAAACACAUGCAUGUCAACAGCGAAGAAGACCCUUACCACAACCGCCUUGUUUCCUCACAACUGGAGAGACGGCGCCAGCUUGGACCCAGUCGAUCUCUGAUGGGCGGGUAGACUUCUCAGAAUGCUCUCCAGUCUUGUUCAUAUGCCAAACUCCAAGACCAAGAGCAAUGUGUACGGUGCACCAUGCAGGGAUCGCUAUGACAUGCAUCUUGUGGUCCCUGGAAAAACGAUGCAACAGCAUACUUAAUUAUACAAACCUCGCUCAUGAGCAAUCUGAGUACAACCCCGUCAUGUACAUGAUUUGAUUAAUAGAGGGCCAUGAUGCACGUUUACAUAGAGGCAACCAUGCAUAUAUUCUAGGGUUUCCUCGCUGAGGAAACAUGAUGCAUGUCUAUGAUGAUGAAACUAUAAGAGUCAUAUGCCGCGGGUUUGACAGAUUUACUACUACGUACCUCACAAAGAGCCCAAAGCGGCGGACACUCCGAGACUGCAAUUUGGUCACCAAUGGUUGAAAGACCGAAUUAAGCGAUGGGCGUAGGUGUAGCAGCCUAGCUCCGGACGGCCUCAACAGUGAGCCUGCCGCCGCCGCGGCGGCCUGGCAACGGCGGCGCAACAGGAUUCUGCCCACGGCGCCGAAUGCCGGACGAAACAUGCCAGCCUGCACCAGCUCGCUAUCUCCAUCCCCCGCUCGACAAUGGAUCCGAUGAAUAUAGCGGAGGAGGAGGAGGACGAGUGUUGGGCAAGAAAACGAGAUUUAUGAGCUUUUUUUUUUAUGAGCUGCUGCUCCGAGACGAGAAAGACCAGCCAAACCGCCUCACGAGCUCAUGUAUGGACCGGCCCACUGGCACGACCCAUUAGCCCUUUCUUUUUUAUUUAUUUUCAUUUUCAUGUUUUUUGGUGGGUAUUUUCUAGAGAAAAUUAAUCAAGUAACAGAAUUUUUUUAUACAACGUGAAAACUGAAAAACAAAUGUUAACAUACCUCAAUAUAAUUGUUCAAUUAUAUGGAAUGAAGAUUAAUAUCAUAUUUGGAAAAGGUUCCUGUAGAUAUAAGAAAACAUUCAUGUAUUGGAAAAUAUUUGUAUAUAUUCCUAAAAAACAAAUCAUAGGCUUAAACAAGGCUCUUUCACGCACGUUUGGAUAUAUGUUCAUAUAGUUUCUGACACAUGUUCAUAUUUUUCCCAAAAAAGGAAAAGGAAAAUGAGAAAGGAAAAGAAAGUGAAAAAGUUAAAAACGGGAAAUAAUAGACAAGGACAAAAAAAGUGAAAAAAAAGCUAGGGGAAAGUAAAAGGAAGAUGGAAAAAGAAAAUGAACGGGAGAGAAAAAAGUAGCCAAAAAAAGGGAAGGUGCUUCAUCUCGUUUUAGCCGCGACCUAUGGGCUGAAUGCAUACAUCCUCAAGGAGGGCCCUUUUUGUUAAGAAAGGCCAUCAUGGCUAGUUUUAUUAAACUCAAAUAAUGUUUACAACAUCAAGGAUGGCCUUAGUGCCCCUCCUCCGUGUGGAAGGUCUUUUAAAAUUUAGCUCAUCAAACGGCCCCUUAUCCUUCAACUCCUUAUAUUCUUGUAGCAAAAAAAGCGGUUCCUAGCCGAACUCUUAAAUUUAGCUCUUAAAAAUAUUCACACGAACAUCAACAGCCCAAUUUGAUUAAAACUACAUUGCAUAGGGACAGCACCAAUAUGUUCAAACUACAGUGCAUAAACAUGAACUUAAUCUCGUUGAUUCGAACGAAACAAUAAAAAAACUAGUCGACUUAAACCUAAUCAGAGUCUACUUCGGUGUCAUCGUUGGAACCCCUUUCUUGUACAGCUCGAGCUGCCUGUGCUUCUCGGCGAAGAGCUUCGAAUACAUCCGGUGGAGCUCAGCCAUAUACUGCUCAUUGGCGCUCCCUACCUCUAACCGCUCGAGAGCCUCCUGGUUCUCUCGCAACUUGUGGAGGGAGACCAAUAGGGGGUCAAUCUCGACGCCGGCCGGGACAUUGCGGUUGUCAAUGGGGAAGUUGAAGUUGAGUUUAGUAGCGCUGUCAUGGAGUGCCACCACAUUGAAGUCAUACACCCUCGCUGCUAGCUUGACUAGAACGAGCCCAGCCAGUACCAGACUCCGGUGUCCGUGACCUUUAUUUCCGACACCCAUGUCCCCCACGGUUGCUGCGGCACGUUCUGGUACUUCUUGUUCGGCUGUGGUGCCGGCAGGUCGGCCGUGAAGGAGCAGGAGGAAAGAGCGCCACCAUGGCGGCCUUAGGUGGGUUGUAUGCAGGGCGGUCCGGCCACGAUUUCUCUCGCAAACUGGAGAUAAAAGUGGGGGAGGUUUGCCGGAGUUCAGACCGAUCCGAAGCCCGUUUCUAACCUUCCUGGCCCACAAAAAAUAUCUCACCCCUCCCGCGCGUUUUCGGUCAGCGCCGACAUUGAAGUGGCGCGCCGGCUGAUAGAGUGCCGCCCGCGCCGCUUCCCACUGCAGGCGACUGCCGAGCGUUCAAACAAUACGACGGCCGCCCGUCCGUCAGUCUGCCGCCCGCAUUGAUGGCACGUGGUUGCCGAGGCAUCUCCUCCGACGCCACCCGUUCGUCCGUCUGCCGCUCACCGGUGCUAUAUAAACCGCUGCCCCAGUGCUCCUGCCAUUGCAAAGUCAUCCCUCUCCACAACACUCCACGCCAUGUAUCCCUCCGUUGCCAAAGCUCUCUGGGGCGAGCUUACGUCGGAGCAGAAGAAGGCCAUGGAAGCCAUUGUUGCGGACUGGCAGGCCAGCAGGCAGCCAAAAGACUUGCAAAUGCAAGACGCCUCCUCCGACGAGCCAGCACCACCCCCCUCUUCCUCUGCGGCACCCUCCUCCGCUCCACCCUCGCCGGUGCAUUACAACCUCACCAUCGACGAGGCAUGUGCCCAUUAUAUGGGCUUGGUGUGGGAGGAGCGGGAGGAGCAAUUCCAGGAAGCGCAGGCCGACGCCAACUACAACCACGACUUGCUCCAGGAGCAUCUGCAUGCGGAGGAGCACGUCACCGCCGGUAGGCAGUUGCGUCGGAAACAGACCUGGCAGAGCAAGAGGCGCUGCUCGAGUCCUAUUGGUCCUCCUGGGAGAUCCGCCUCGCCCACUGGCGGUACCGGCAGCGUGUGACAGAGGUGGCGGCCACCGGCAAGGAGUGCGACGACGCGGGCGAGGCGUUGUUCGGCACCGACGAAGAGGACAUCGCCGAGAUCGUGCCCCAGUGCCACGAUAACGAAGAAGCCGGAACAUCCGCGGGCACCGCCGGAUGCGAGGAAGAGUAGUGCACGGUAGGCCGCCACCGCUCCUCCCCUCCCGUUGACGCCAAGCUUGGUGGGCUCAACAUCUUCGGCCGAUUAGUCGCUUGGCGGCGACAUGGAGGCGGGCAGCUUCAGUUCCCGGGCCUCCAGAGGCGGAGGUCACGGAGGCGGAGCUGGAAAAGGCGCAGCUUCUAUUCUCUUGGUUCAUGAUCGGACACGGGCCAAGGACGCCGGCGAUCAUUUAGAUUAGGUAUUAAUUAUACUCCAGACACCGCCUCGGACAGCUUUGAUGUAUUUAUAAUGAAAUCCGUCAUGUUUAUAUGAAAUCUGAUAUGUUUAUAUGAAAUCAGACCGUGUUUAUAUGAAAUCCGGACUUGUUUGAACGAAUUUCGUCCAGUUGGUUGGAGUUGUUGUCAAAAUGUAUGCCGUUAGCGUUGGAUGGCUGCCUUCCGCAUCCGUGACCACGGACUAGUACCUCUGUUCAUGGACGGAUGCGGGAGGUUUUUUGCGGGUUGUCAUUAGAGAUGCCCUAAAGACUGCAUAUAAGGGAUCGGCUAGGUCCAGUUUAGCCGCUUGAUAAAAUGAUUUUUUUUAUACUCAUCUAACUUCUACUCGGACUGAAUUUCAAGAGAGAAAAAAAAAGAACUUCUACUCGGACUAGUACUCCGCGUACACAACUAGCAUGGACACGAGGAAACCAAAUUAACACGGCUACCUUUGACACAUGUGGUUACACCCAAACUGACUCCUACACGAACAGAACCUACUUAUGUUACGUAGAUUUACCUAACAAGCUGUAGUAUAAUAACUAGUAGAUCAAUAUACGUAGUAGAAGAAAACGCCAUGUCGGCGCUGGGUGAAGACGCGACCCUGGACGAUGAUGUGGUAACGGAGAUCCUCCUCAGGCUACCGUGUACCUCUGUGCUCCGCUCCCGGGCCGUCUGCAAGGCGUGGCACCGCAUCACCACCGACCCCUCGUUCCUCGCAGCCCACGCCGAGCGGCGCCCAGCCGAGCUGCUCGUCGUGUCACGAGAACCUGAAUCUGAAUGGGCUUACCAAGAUCGUGUCGACACAAUCCCGCUCUCUCUCCGAGCCGACGACGGCCCGGCGGGGUGCCAGCGUGAGCUCUAUUAUCCCGAGCAUUGUGAUGUUCACUUGCUGGUGGGUUGCUGCGAUGGGCUCCUGCUGUUCCUGCUGGACAGAUUCCCUCCAGGCCAGUGCUGCUCCUAUUUCUUCGUGUGCAACCCGGUGACCAGGCAGGGGACAUGGCUAGACCUGAUGCCGCCGGCUUGCCACGGCAACCUGCGGGUGCUCUGCGGCUUCUACCGCCACGGCCCGUCCGUCGAGCACCGGUUUCUCGUCCUGGCCAAUGAACCACGAAGCCCGAAUAGCCUGAUGACCAACAUGGACCUCUUCACUGGCUCCGCCGCGCACUAUGUUUUCAAUUUUGCAGCCGCCACCGUGUCCUCAGAGGCUCCUCGCCGGCUGGGACCGGUGCCCGGAAACGUAGUCGUCAACCCCUACGGCUCCGAGAACCAGGUCCCCAGCCACCUCUACCAUCGGGGGAAGCUUCACUGGACGACGCAUCCUCAGGCCACGAGCAUGGGCAAGAUCUUGGCGUUCGACACACUGUCCGAGGAAUUCCGGCUAAUAUCGUGCCCGGAGUGGCCAAGGGGCCAAUACUCCUACCUGAACGACCUCUGCCUCAUGGAGUUGCACGGCAGGCUAGCCAUAACAACCACUCUACUCUGUGGCGAGUUCAUGGAGGUCUGGGUGCUCGAGAACUACGACGACGACCGGAGCUGGUCACACCGUUUCCGGAUCCAACUGCCGCCGCCGUUCUGUGUACGUUGGACGAUGGGCACCGGUAUCCCUAACGUCAUUCUGGUGGGAGGCUACAUGGAAAAAUUAGCUGCGGUAUACCAUCUUACCGACAAGUGGAGCGUAGAGAAGAUAGGGUUUAUCAACAGCAACACAUCGGCUCGUCACUUUCUCUUCAAGGAGAGCCUUGCGCCACACCCCUUUUUUGAUCCAUAUUAAUUUUGUCAUGGAAAAAAGUCACGCAUGAUUCUCAUCAAUCACUAUACUCAUUCCACAUGCAUAUAUGUACUUUACCUUCAGAGUUAUACCCAAGAAACAUCCAUGUACUUUUGCCUUCAAUUUCCUAUCAUUCCCGUAUACAAAAUCAGGAAAACUAAUGAUACAUAUCAAUGAGGUAGCUCUGGUAUCUCCUUGUAGUAGUACAUUUGAAUCCUUUCGUCUUGAUUUGCAAUAAUACUCCUAUCUACUACAUCUUUUUGCAAAUCUACCUUUUUUCUCUCUUUUUGAAACACAAUUUUUUCCAGAUAAAAAUACAGAAAUUUCGAAACACAAAUCUACAUACAUUAUUAACCAUGUGACGGUCCUAGUAUUUCUAAAGUAAGAUAGUAAUGUUUUUAUUCUACCAAAAUAUUUCUCACCACUAGCGUGAACAUUCAUAAUAUAUUUCUGUCUUACUGAAUAAUAUAAAUGUGUAUGAAAAUGCUACGGGCCAACUUAUCAAUCCCCUCAAGUGUUCUAUCUUAUUUGGUCCUGCAUGCUCCAAUGAGGCACAAGAGGUGGUACGGUCUGUUCUGGAAGUAAAGAAAGAUGAGUUUGAACCAAAGUACCUCGGGCUACCAACACCUGAUGGGCGCAUGCAUCGCGGUACAUUUCAGAAUUUGCAAGUACGGCUUAUGAAACGGAUCUGCAUUUGGGGUGAUAGUCACAUGGCUCAAGCAGGAAAGGAGACUUUGAUAAAAGCUGUGGCACAUGCCAUUCCUGCUUAUAUUAUGGGCGUGUUUAAAUUACCUUUGUCAGUAUGCGAUGAUCUAACACGGAUGGUUAGAAAUUACUGGUGGGGUUCGGAGAAAGGCAAGAGGAAAGCUCACUGGAUGGCAUGGGAGAAAAUUAUUCAGCCAAAGGCUAGGGGGGGAUUGGGUUUUCGUGAUUACAGAAUCUUUAAUCAAGCUUUACUAGCCCGGCAGGCGUGGCGGCUUCUCGUCAAUCCGGACAGCCUAUGUGCGAGAGUCUUAAAAGCUAAGUAUUAUCCUAACGGUCGUUUGGAAGACACCGUGUUUGCAGGGAACGCCUCAUCGUCAUGGCAAGCGAUCACGUACGGGCUUGAGCUGUUGAAGAAGGGUCUUGUGUGGCGGGUCGGCAAUGGCCAGAAUGUCAGAAUCUUGCGAGAUCCCUGGCUUCCUCGACCACCAUCAUACAGACCCGUCACCGUGCAAGGAAGAUGCAGAUUGCGACGUGUAGCUGACCUGCUCAGCGCGCAUGGAACCUGGGAUGUGGAUCUUCUCCGCCAAUACUUCGUGUCACCGGACGUUGAGGAAAUUCUUCGCAUCAGGCCAGCACCAAGCCUUGAUGAUGUGCUACCAUGGGCACCGGAUCCCAAAGGCGUCUUCUCUGUACGGAGCGCAUAUAAGAUCGCCCUCGACGACAAAUCCCGCACAUCUACGUGCGCCAUGAGCAGGGCACCGGACGGCAAUCGCGCCGUCUGGACGGCAUUGUGGGGGUGCCCUGCUCCCCCAAAGGUACGGGUUUUCGGCUGGCGUUUGGCGACUGAUUCCUUGGCCACUAUGCAAUAUAAAUUUAAGAGGCACAUUGAAAGAUCUGACAUAUGUACCAUUUGUGGUGUUGAACCGGAGGACAACUUCCAUGUUGUCUGCAGAUGCCCGAUGGCGCCAGCAUUGUGGGAGGCCAUGCGCGAGUCAUGGCCACUGCCAGACCUGAACAGCCUCAACAACUCGGGCCCUGACUGGCUGCUGCAGCUACUUGACAAGAGCACGGAGAUAGAACGCCUCGUCAUCCUGAUGACCUUUUGGCGGGCAUGGCACUGUUGAAAUGAGGUCUCUCACCAUAAGCCGGCACCACCUGUGGAGAGCUCUCGGAGAUUCCUUGAUAUAUAGCUACAUCUCAUCACUCUUGUGCAUCAAACAAAAUCCAUAUGGGGACAUAGCUAAAGGCAAGAUGGUGGUCGACGUUGGUGCAGGUGUGCGCCGUGUGAGAGAUACCCAGCAGCAGCCGCCGCCGGUGCCGUCGCCAUCUGCAGAUAAAUGGCAAGCCCCCCCGGCGGGCUGGGCAAAGUUAAACGUUGACGGUUCUUUCAUACCGGGAGAAGACACAAGUGCGGCGGGCAUGGUACUGCGAGACGAAGCGGGUGCUAUUAUUUUUUCAGCUUGCCGUUACCUUCGCUGCUGCUGUUCGGCACUGGAAGCUGAACUGGCGGCUUGCAUGGAAGGAGUAUCUUUGGCAUUGGAGUGGACGGACAAACCCCUCAUCAUCGAAUCUGACAGUCUACAGGCCGUAGAAUUUCUCCAGGAGCAAGGCAUUAAUCGGUCUCAGGUGGCGUCCCUAGUUGGGGAGACGAAGAGGCGUUUGCAUGGACAGCGGGAACACCGCUUUGCUCAUGUUCACCGCCCCAGCAAUGAAGCUGCUAAUUUUAUGGCUCAGUUUGGCCGUACCUCUUUACGUACUGCUGUUUGGCUGAGAGCAGGCCCAGAUAGUUUUAGUAACCUUUGUCACAACGAGUGUAAUGCCACAAUUUAAUUAAUACAUACUCGUUUGACCCGCAAAAAAAAAGAAUAAUAUAAAGUUGAAAAAACAAGGAACCACGAAUUCUUUCUGCCAUGCCCGGUCGCUCACGUGUUGCUCCCGUGGGCUGCUCAGGAGCAAACCCUAGCCGCAGCGAGCAUGAUUCUCAUAAAUAGCUAUACUCAGUCCACAUGCAUAUAUAUAUAUAUAUAUAUACCUUUGCACCCGUGGGUUGUUUAACACACUUUGCCUUCAGAAUUAUACCCAAGCAACAUCCAUGUACUUUGCCUUGAAUUUCCUAUCAUUCCUGGAUGCGUACAUGAAAUGAUGAAUAUUAAUAGUAGCACUUACUACUCACUUCAACGUUAGUACAAAGUUAAGGCAUUUAUUUUGAAACAGAGGGAUUACAUAUCAAUGAGGUAGCUCUGGUAUGUCCUUAUAGUCCAUUGGAAUCCUUUCACUUAAUUUGUAAUACUCCUACCUACAUCUGCUUGCAAAUGUAUUUUUUUCUUUCUCUUUUCGAAACAAAAAUUUACAUUAUUGUUAACUAUGUGCCGGUCCUAGUAUUUCUAAUGUAAGGUAGUAUUGUUUUUAUUUUACAAAAAAAAUCAUAAUAUGUUUCUGUGUUACCAAAUAAUAUAAAGUUAAACAAUCUCAUUUAUAAAAAUAUCUUGAGAUCACAUACCGAGAUAUGGUUUUAGUGUAUGAAAAUACAAUGUGUAUCAACAUUUAAAUGCUAUUGAUCGACAAAAAACGAUUUCGGUGGAGAUACAGAGGCCAUGUAGAUAACUGGUAAGCACGUCAUCACCACCAAAAUUUAUCUGUAUUUAUUGACAUAAUAUGUAGCAAUCUUUCACUCAGCUAAAGAAUAAAGUUACAUGGUAUAAUUCAAGUAUUCCAGGUCAUAAUUGUAGAACCACAGCUAAACCGGCAUUCCCAUUAAUUUGGUAGCCUUCAGUAACAUCCUACUAGAUUCUUUUUCUAUACUAGCAAAAUAUUAAGUUCAUGCAUACGAGAUCCUUGUCCAGGGACUGAAAGAAAGGCAGUCACAAUAAGAUGAUGAAUGCGGUUACUGAUGUGAGGUGGAUGUAGCUCCAAGCACUUUUCUUUCUUUUGCUGAAUUGAAUCGAAUUGAAUCACUCUCGCCUCCAAGGUCGCACACUCGCACGCGUGUGCGGCUCCAGAGGAACCCCAACCCUACAACCGGAAGGCCCUAGAUCUCCCCCCCUGCCGCUCCCAGCGGUGGCACCCGGCCGUUGAAGGCGGCGGACACCGACGGGCCAUCUUCCUGUCGAGGCGGGCCAUCACUAGGGCUUCGGUGGUGGUGGUGUGGCCGGUGACGCGAGAGCUUUGUGAUGUUGCCCACACGGCGAGGAGCGCGGAGGAGCAGCAGAUCCGACGAGAUAGGCAGCAGGGAGGCAGGGAGUGUGCCAAGGUGAGCGGGUGGCAUCAGCGCAUGUCCACGGCCACGGAGGCGGCGGCGCAGAGGAGGCCUAGCCAGGAAGGAGAUCCUGGCAGGCAGCGGGCGGCCGGUCACCUCCGCGUUCAUGGGUGGGCGGUGGUGCUCUUCCAGUGGAGUUGGCACUAGAGUAGUGUCCUGGGCUGGUGCGUAGGUCGGAAAUUUUUUGUUUUCUGUUGCGUUCCCCUACAGUGGCAUCAUGAGCCGUGCUAUGGGUAGAUGCAGGUUGCGAUCUAGAAUACAUAGAGAUGUAUGGGUAUUGCAUAAUAUAAUUAGGUGGUAGAUGAGAUCUAUUACUGAAAAUUAUUUAUGCGGGUGACAGAUGAAAUCUGUUACCCGACGUUCUUGUUGCUUCCCUAAAAUUUGCGUUUGCUCAAUCUCGAGACAGCAUGGUGGAAUUUGACAAAGUUCUGGCAAUCCGUGAUCCUGAUUGAUCAUGGAAGUGCUAUCAGUUCUUUGGGUUCUGCCGUAGUCAAAAGAAAGAUGAAAUUCGCAGAUGAAAGGGCAUUGCAGAUAUGAUCUGCACGGGGGUCAUGCGUAUGACGAAGUUUAGUAUGGGGCUCGAGAUUUAAUUAUCUCGUGUUUCAUACACCCCGAGAUGUUAAUCUAGCAACUUGAAUAAUCAUACUUGAUGAUAAAACGUUGGUAGCUGCGGUUUAAGUCAAAACCUUAGAAGCCGCGAAAAAUAAAUUUUUGCAUAAACCGAUUAGAGGCGUCUAACUUGGUUUUGCAGGAUAUGCAUGUGAUGUGGUAUAGCAAUGCUCAUAUUCAAUUUGAUUAUGUAUGAGAUGACUAUAUGAUGUAAUUAACAUGACCUGCGUUUCAUGAUUCGGCAUGAUGGCUGGAGCCAUAUGAUUGUCACUUUAAUGACCUGCGUGUCAACCUUAAGUAAUGCACUUAUUUUAUUAGCUAUAGAGAUAGCAAUAUUAUGUGGUGCAUCAACAGGGUGGUGGCAAUCUUCGUGAAGGUGAACACCGACGCAAAUGCCGAAGACGAAGAAAUGAAAUACUUCUCCGACAGGAAGGGCUAUACCAUAUCAUGCUAUUAUGAAUUGCCUGAGAUGUUUAUCCCUUAUGAUGCACCCUUCUUGAUUGCGCGGUAGUCGCUUUUUAUUAGGGUGAUCUCUCACUUAAAAUAUCAAAGUAGUUAGUGUUCACCCAAGUGUAGCACCGUCUGAAAUUCGUAUCUUUUCGGGGUGCGCCAUGUACACAUGAGCACGAACGAAUCGACAGGAAUGAGGCGGGUGAGGUCAGACCUCGCAGCAAGAUCACUUGGCUGUCUUUGACGUUCAGGCAGGAGAGUCCUGAGCUUGGAACACGCCCAUCGAAAGAUGAACAAGAAUCACAUAGAGAUGUGAUCGGCAAGUUGGCCUACCGAUUGAAAUUCGUGUCAUUAGUGAUGAACCCGUCAAUGGCAUCGAAUAGAAAUAUGGAUCUUGAAUCACUCUAAAUCAAUUAUGAGAGAUAUUGAUUUGAGUGGGAGCGCACUGUUGAAUUAACAUGUUUAAUUCUCAGUGCAAUUAAUUAUGAACACUGUCUAAGUGUUUCUUGCAAAAUAGUUGUAGAAUAAUGGCUCGCGUUUCCACCUUCCCUGUUAAAAUUGAUUAGCUGUUAAAUAUCUGGUUAAAACUUUACGUUUGGUAACUUAAUGUGAGGAUUGUCCUCAAAAGUGCCGAGAAGGAUUUUGUCUUAUCGCAUGCUUUCCGUAUCCUCCCGCUAAUGCUAUGGAUCAUGUGACUCUCGUCCUUCGAUCCAAAAGCUAGAAUUCUGUUACGGUCAAGUGGAAUAUGUUUGCUUCCAUGAAACCCAAACUUCGAAAGUUGGGAUAGUUAUUUGAUAUUCAUGGAACUGAAAAUUAUUUUCAGAUACAAACAAAGCAAUGUUUGUUUGCAAGUAUUAAUAAAAGUGUUUACUAUGCAUUUGACUGUUGGGAAAGGGAUCCAGAAGAACGACUGUCAUAUAAUGAAAGGUGAAUAAAACAACAACUUAAAGAUAAAGGAAGUGUCCAAAGGGUGUUAGUAUGACUUACACGCCUAGGAAGUCCGGGGCUAACGCCACUCUUAUGUUGGGUGCUUCUUUUGCGAGUAGGAGAAAUACUAAAAGUUAAACAGUUAGAAGUAUGAAGGCAGAAAGAGAGAUGACUGGAAUAUCCAUCUCAUGUAUGAAUGCCAUACAAGUUUUUGAUGUAUCGUAGGAUGGUCAAAGAUAUAGUUCUUGGGAAUUUUGGUUAAACAUGUUAAUCACUAAUUCUUGGGUAUUGUGAGUUAAUCACAAAGAUACCCGCUCGAUUGCAUUCUGUUGCGAAUCAAUGUAAAAGCUACUAUGACCUAAAAAGACUAGCCAGAAAUGAGGUUAAGGUAUACACAGGGAACAUAGUAAAUGUUACUAUAUUUUCCAUCGGUGUAUUGCCGUCUGUAUUUAUUUUCAUAAUUCAUUUAGAGUUUUACAAACUCUAGCCCAUUGCAUAAGGUAUCUUGCAAGAAGGUUGUUCAUAAGAGAACUUUUUAUGUUCGAUGUUAUGAAUAACACAAGGGCCAUACUUUCAUUAUGAAUGAUAUGUAUGUUAUGAAUAUUGAUAAUAAUACAAAACCUCUGGGUUUACUUUCAUAAUUCAUUUUAGAGUUUUUUACACUCUAGCCCAUUGCAUAAUUUUUAUUGCAAAAGGGUUGUUCAUAAAAGAACAAUUGUUGUUCAGUAUUAUGAAUAACAUGAAGGGCCAUGCUUCCAUCCAAGAUGGGAUGUAUGUUGGGAAUAUUGAUGGUAAAAUGAUACAUCCAUAACACUGACGCUAAAUGUCGCAAGACUAUGAGAAUACCACACAUGUGUGGAACUGCAUUUGGUCACAUUGGAGAAACCCGCAUGGAAAAAUUCCAUUAUGAUGGAUUUUGAAGUCGUUUGAUUUUGAAUCAUCUGACACUUGAAACUUUCCUCUGAAAAGUGAAGUGACUGAAAUACCGUUCACAGGCCAUAAGGAACGAGCAACAAACUUAUUGGUGAUCAUACAUUUUGAUGUAUGUAGUUCAAUAAAUGUUGUUGCAAGUAGUGGAUUUAUAUAUCUUCAGAAAUGACUCAAGUAGAUAUAUGGAUAUUUGCUUGAUGAGUCGUAAGUCUGGAUCUUUUGAAAUCAUUCAAAAGGUUUUCAAAAAUGAAGUAGAAGUUAUUGUAACAAGGAAAUUAUGUUUCUAUAAUUUGAUUGCAGAAAGGAAUAUCUGAGUUACAAGUUUAGCGAAUGUGUGAUGAGUUGUGAAAAGAGUUUCAUAACAUACACCUUCUGGAACACCACUAUGAGUGGAAUGUCUGUGAAGAUGUAAUCAAACCAUUUAUGACAUGGUAAGGUCAAAGAUGACAUAAAUAAAUUUGCCAUUAUCCCUUUUAAAGUGAUGCUUUAGAGGCUGCGGCUUUUACACUGAAAAGAGCUACAUCGGGUCUGUUGAAAUGAAUCCAUGGUAUGGUACGCCCAACCAUGUUAUCUCUUUUCUUAACAUUUGGAAUAUGGGUCUUGUGUAAAAGGUUACAAACCUAUUCCAAAUUAGACAAGUGCUACUUUGUAGGUUAUACAAAAAUGUUGGGUAUUCCUCCCUCACUAUACCGAGGCAAAUAGUUUUGCCGCGAAACGGUGUGCUUUUAAAGAGAAUGGUUCUUUCAAAAAGGUAAGUGGGAGAAUAGUGCAACUCGACGAGAUAAACAGUAUCUUCGUCAUCAGAUCAAAGGAAAGAGACCUUGGAAGUAAUUCCAGAGUUUCCUACUGCGAUUGAUACGGAAGUCUCUACAAUAAAAUGUAUGAACUUCGGUCGAACUUGCAACUGAACCACGUAGGCAAGGCUCGUGCAAACCUCUCAGGUGCGCGAAUGAGAUAUUGUUGUUAGACAACAUUAUACCUGACUCUGGAAUUGGCUAAAUGCCAAUACAACCCGAGUUAGUUUCCAUAUAAGUGAUUCAAGAUUAAAACCUUGACACACCUUUCCGAAGACUUAGAUUCUAACGAAUAUUUAUGGAACCUUAAACUAAUACGGAUAAAAAUGUUUUAUCCAUAAAGCUCGACUUGUUGAAAUAACAAGUUCAAGAGUUGACUACGAUAAGGUUGUUUUCAUCGUAGCGAUGCUUAAAGUCGGUUCGGGUUGAACUAGCAAUUAAUACAUAUUUCAAUCAUGAGAUAUGAAACAUGGAUGACAAUAGGAUUUCCAUCUGAUGGAAAUGAAACUAAGGACUUGCAUCUGUUACAGUCCAAGGCAUUUUGUCUAUCCAGAGGAUGCUAGUAAGGGUGCAAACUUCAGAAUUCCAGCGAUGGACAGAAGAGAGCAAAAUGGAGUUGGAAUCUUCGUGUUUUGGUGAAAUGGUCAAAGGGUUCUGACUUCAUCAAUGGGUAACGAAGAUGCUUGUAAUUCAAGAAAGUAAGUGGGAGCGUAAUAAUAUUUCUAAAAACUUUGUGUGCUUAACACAUUGUUAAUUGGAAAUAAAUUUCUUGACACGAAUUAGGACUUCAUUGGAAAUUGUUUUUGAUGAAGUGCUUAGGCUAAAUAGCCUCAAUUUUAGGCAUGAUGAUCUAUGGAGAUAGAUUUACCUAAUAUGGCUAAGCAAUGAAUACAUAUUGACAAGGUGCUAAAACCUAUUUAGCAUUUAAAACGCUAAGUAGUGAUUCUUGACUAAGUCACAUGAAAAGAGCUUUUACAAGACUCGUUGUCCCAAAACACUGAGGAGUAAAAUACUUGAUGAGAUUCCACACACCUUCGUGUUUUGGACUAAUCAUGUAUUCCAUGGUAUGUAAAACAACCAAUGUAAAACAACCAGAUAUGUCCGAUACUCCCAAGGUGUUGCAAGUAUGGAUACUAAAGUGAUCAAAGUACUGAUCGUGGGAAAACAGUGAAAGAUGUCAUUGAGUACUAGAGUAAGUACUGAUGAUAUGUUUUCUUUCAAGCGGAGAUCAUGAAGAGUUCGUUAUAAAAUGCUACGUCGAUACAGUCUUCAUCUUUUCUCCAUGCGAUUUUCAAUUUAAGUUAAGGGUUUUGUGUAAUACACAAUAUGGUGGCAGGGUAGUUAGAAAUUGUUCCCAACAGGAUACUGUGGCGAAUUCUAUAACAAAUGACUAAGUAUGUUGACGCUUUAGAAGGGACAAAAGAAGAUGUUGAAUCAUAUAGUUCAUUCAUGAACUUAGUAUGGUUCCAAGAUGGCUUCUGUCAAUGGGACACUACUGCAGGUAGUUGCUCCAUAACUCAGUCUGAGGAAUCCAGGUUCGACCUAUGAUUCACAUACAUACAACGCCAAGUCCACACAAAAUAUGAAUUUUGUGAAAGCAUGAAAAUGCGAGGAUAUGCAGAGAUACAUACGGAGCUGAAAUUGUCAAAUCCGAUGGACAUCAGGCUAUACCACAUGCGAAGCAUUUUUUACACCAGUAUGCCAUAGGUGUAAAGUGCAUUAGCAUUAACUAGAUUAUUGACUCGAGUGCAAGUGGGAGUCUGUAGGAGAUAUGCCAUAGAGGCAAUAAUAAAUGAUAUUAUUUAUCUCCGAGUUCAUAAUUAUGUUUAUGUUCCAUGCUAUAACUGCAAUGAUUCUCGAGUCUGCAAUAUCCACGAGGCUCAGAGGAAGACUCAUAUGCACGUGUGGAAUAAUAAACGGUAAGAAGUAUUCCUAGUCUGGCCUCUAAGACUAGCUCUAGUGUUGCAUGAUGGUUCUGUUUUCCUGAUCAUGGGCAUGUUAUGCCAGCAAUUUUGAGGGCACAAUGUUAAGAGAACAUUUGUGUUGAAUCGACCCGGAUUGAUGUUAUGCUAAGAGAUUCAUUCGUCACAAGUUAAUGGUGCAUAACACAGAGAUGGUUAACGUUUGCAUAAUUCCUUAGACCAUGAGAGUAUCGAGUUUCUUCAUGCUUGCUUCAUGAACUUUGGGGUUUGUUAAACGUCAUCCGUAAAUGGGUGGCUAUUACGGCAGCUUACGGGUUCAUGGAAAAGUGUGUCAACUAACUUGAUAACUCAAGAUUGGGAUUUGCUCCUCCGACGAUGGAGAGAUAUUCUCGGGCCCUCUCGGUAUUACGGUAUCCAUCAUCGUCUGGCCAGACACAGUGUGAUUUGAUCACUGGGAUGCCGGAACACAGAAACGAGAAAAGAGAACAAAACCGGUAACGAGGUAACUUGCAUGGUGGACAAAUUUUUCGUCCACGGGGAUGCAACAAAUCUCACAACGGGUGUUUGUGACAUAUCGCGAAGCAACAGGAAUAGCUCACUGCAACUGGAGGUUCACUCGAAUAUUCAUUCGUGUGGGUAUAGGGGACAAUAUGGGUGUCCACGGCUCCGAUGUUGAUCAUUGAUCGGAAGGGGUUCCGGGUCAUGUCUAUACUUCACCGAACCUAUAGGGUCACACGCUUAAGGGUCAUCUAUCUGCUGAAUACUAGACAAGGAGUCUGAGAGAAAAUCAUCGAAAGAGUUUCGGACAGCGGAAAAGUUCCGCAGAGAGAGGUCACUGGAUGAGUUUCGGUGAAACCGAAAUAGUUGUUUCGGGGUAUGCCAUUAAGUCAAAAUGGUUUCAAAACAUGCCUGAUAAUUCUUGGAGGGUGCCAGAAUCAUUCUCGAAACUUUUUGGAAUUUUCGGAAAUAAAAACCGGAAAUGUUCCGGAGCUGCAGGAACCGGUUCAGAUGCUUUUCGCGGAUGAAAAUCACUAAACUGGAAUUGUUCCAGAACACGUUGAAAAUUAUUAUGAUGGGUACUGGAAAUGUUCUAAGCCCACAUAGAUAUUUUCAGUUCGAACGGACGCUGAAAAAUGUCAUCGUGAAUAGUGAAAGUGCUUUUUGGGAUAUUUUAUGGAAAGCCACCUUUUGGGGCUUUGCCCAAAAGAUCUAGGGAUGACAUGGAUGGAUUGGGAGACCCUCAUGGGGGCCCACCAAGGGGUGUGGCCGGCCACACUUGGGGCUCCACCUUGGAGCCCCUCUUGUUCCAUGGUUUCACUCUUAUGUCCUUGAGGAAGGACUUCAUUCAUGUUCAUUUUGGGUUUUUGUGUUAAACUACCCUACCCCUUGGGAUUUCCUAUAAAUAGAGGUGGAGGGGCAGCCCUCCACACUCACUCUUUCUCACAUACAAGUGCCAUGCAUGAUCUGGCUUCUCUCUCCCUCCCAGCGAAAUAGUUUCAUAGAGCCGUAAGGCUGUCUGGGUUCCGGCAGGAACUAGUUCUGGACGGCGAAGCCCUGCCGGAUAGAUGACACCGUAUGUGUGCAACUCUGUAGAGAGAUCGUAGUUUCGGUCUUAGUUCGUGAGUGCCUCCCAAAGGGCUGUCUAUGUGACCGUCCGAGUUUCGAAGGUCCUCCCGAAGGGCUGUCCCAGUGACCAUUCGAGUUUCGAAGGUCCUCCCGAAGGGCUGUCCGCGACACCGUCCGGGGGGCUGUUCGACCACCUCCCGGAGGGCUGUCUGAGGAGCAGAUGAGGGUAUUCAUCCUCGCAGGUGGGAGGUUGUAAAUCCUAGCUGCGGGGAUCUGCACCGCCGAUCGUCAUCGACUCUACUUCCCGUUGCGCUACGAGUCGGUAACGAAAAAGAUCAAACCAUGUAUGCAGUCUCCAUAGUGGUCCUGGGCUGGUGCGUAGGUCGGAAAUUUUUUGUUUUCUAUCGCGUUCCCCUACAGUGACCGCCAUCUGAACCGGUUGAAUAUAGCCCGUGCUACCAUCUCCCACUGGUUGCACCCAGUAACCAAAGCCUCCCUAGAGUCCAUAGGAGUGAGUAAGGACCACGUGCGGAUUAAUGUGGUAGUUCUGAAGAUGACCUGCAAGAAAGUUAAAAUGUGUUGUCUGUUAAAAAUCAUAUCAUUCUUACAAUUCCAUAUAGCCCAUAAAAACGCACAUAUUCCAAUCCGAAUACGAGACGCGGUAAUAUGCCCAACCCCAGCUAACCACAUUCCAAACAACGAUUCAAUGUCAACUGGAGGAUUAAAGUUAAAGGCUAUAUGGAUCAUUCUCCAAAGCAAUUUGGCGAGUGGGCACUCAAGGAAUAGAUGUUGUAUUGUUUCAUCAUGAUCACAAAAAUAACAACGUCAACUACCUACCCAUCGCCUCUUUAUUAAGUUAUCCUUGAUGAGUAUUACUUUUUUGUGGACGAACCACAUAAAUAUUUUAAUACGCAAGGGAAUCUUAACCUUCCAAAUAUGUAACGAUCUCGAGAUUGGGCCAAAAUUAAUUAGAUCCAUGUAAAACGAUUUCAGCGCAAGUGCCCUAUUUCUAGCUAACUUCCAGUGCGUCGAAUCAGGUUGGUCGGAUAAUUGAACAUCUAUCAUCCUUCGGACCAAGUGCAUCCAGGCAGUCCAUCGCACACCAACUAACGCAUGUCUGAACUGAAUAUUCAAGGGAGUCAUUUGAAAUAUUGUGCCUAUGUAAUCCUCCUUACGUUGCAUGAUGUUAUAAAGGGUGGGAUAUUGUAUGGCUAGGGGCGUCUCUCCUAACCACGUAUCCUCCUAAAAUCUUGUUGACAUUCCAUUGCCAACCAAGAAUUUAACCCUACGAAAGAACAAGUCCUACAUUCUCAUGAGUCCUUUCCAGAAUGGCGAGUCAGACUGGCACUUGUUUGAUUUGGAUGAUACAGUUUUUUAUUCACGUCGUUAAAUGGAAAUGGACAAUGACCAUUUUGGAUGAUACAGGUGAGGAAGAGACUACAGAAAGACUAGUUAUGUGGUCACCUGGGACUCUAGAGUGUUUUUAGGUGCCAUGCAGUCUUGUUUUGCUGUUAUAGACUUGAUAAAUGCUAUGAGCUAUUUUUGGCAGCACCAGUGUCGUUUCAUUGUUGGUUUAGCAGGUGCUUUGGCUAAAAGAAGAAAAGAAAAAUGUUACGCACGCCUAGGUUAUGUCAUGAUUGUUAUUGGCUUUGACAAACUUUGACCUCUGUCUUCUUCAGAUAUCUGUAUCAGUGCUGAUGGUAUCCCAGGAGUGCUGGUUACUGGGGAAGUGUAUGCGGCAUGUCGAAUCAUUCUUCCGCAGGAGGCCCCUAAAGCUUCAACUUGUUGAGAAACUGUCUGCACUCCGCAGUUUGGAACCUUGCGGCAUGAUGCUGUGAAUUUCUUGGAUAGUGGGCUUCCCUGAUGGCUGCUCUGCUAGUGCUAGCUCAGGGAAUGGCCUCUACAACUGAACUGUACUGCAGUCGGUCUUGACCGAGAAUUGUUGGGGCCUAUGGUGUAGGGCGAUUGCUUGGCAUCGAGUUGAGAUGCAACGCUGAAUCAAACCCUGGCCGACACAGCGGAUCUGAUGUGGAUUUGGUUUGCUGCUCGUCCUUUGGGUCCGUGCCCAUGAUGGGCAGGGAUCACCAGCAGUUUACAAUCAUCCAUGGCGCUUUACCCCCGUGGUGUUCUACUUAUCUAAACAAAUUUUUGUUUUUGAAAUGUCAACCGGGGUAUAUAUAUCAAAAAGAGGAAGUCCUCGGUUUGUGAUCAUACAGCAGAGGUGAAUAGCGGGGCAGAAGGCCACGUAGCUUUUUUUUGGAAAUGGAGGCAUACCCCCGGCCUCUGCAUCAUAAUGAUGCAUGCAGCCAUCUUAUUAAAGAGUCUCGAAGUAGCACAAAUUCAUAAAAGUAAUACAGCUCGCAAGCGGAGCGAAACUAAGAAAAGAAAAGUACAUGCUCAAAAUCACAACCGGCCAGGCAAAGUAAAGGAGAAGCUCCCUAGACUCCUAUCCUGUUAUGCGACCGCCAUCCGAACCGGUUGAAUAUAGCCCGUGCUAACAUCUCCCACUGGUUGCAACCAGUAACCAAAGGCUCCCUGGAGUCCAAGGAGUGAGUAAGGGCCACGUACGGAUCAAUUCAGUAGCUCUGAAGAUGACCUGCAAGAAAGUUAAAGUGUGUUGUCUGUUAAAAAUCAUAUCAUUCCUACAAUUCCAUAUAGCCCAUAAAAGCGCACAUAUUCCAAUCCGAAUACGAGACGCAGUAAUAUGCCCAACCCCAGCUAACCACGUUCAAAACAAUGAUUCAAUGUCAACUGAAGGAUUAAUGUUAAAGGCUUUAUGGAUCGUUCUUCAAAGCAAUGUGGCGAGUGGGCACUCAAGGAAUAGAUGUUGUAUUGUUUCAUCAUGAUCACAAAACAACAACGUGAACUAGCUACCUAUCGCCUCUUUAUUAAGUUAUCCUUGGUGAGGAUUACUUGCUUGUGGAAAAACCACUUAAAUAUUUUAAUACGCAAGGGAAUCUUAACCUUUCAAAUAUGUAACGAUCUCGAGAUUGGGCCAGAAUUAAUCGGAUCCAUGUAAAGGACUGGAUAACAUGUUAUAGCCUUAUAUAGGGCUGAGCCACCAAAUCCACAUUUCUCUCCGUAUAAUUUCUAUAUGUUAAUGUGCAGCAGCUCCCGAUGAACCUAUUUUAGGAUAAGAAUUUUUUUAGGGCAUUUUUUGUUGGUUUUUUAUGAAAUCAAAUACAAUCCAGUGCAUUCCAUAGUAGGUUUUCUGCCCCUAGCUAGUGGUAAAGAACAAGUUCAAUUCAGUCUUAUGAUGUUAUUAUUGAUGCCUUGUUCAAAUCAAAUGGACAAGCAUGUACUAAUCAGUGAUUUAUAUCUUAAUACCGAAAAUUUGUGCUGAUUUAUGAAUUUGUUGAUCCCGAGGUUCUCCUAAUCCGUGUACUAAUUUAUUUGGGCAAUUUGGGUUAUUUUGGUCUCAUUAUAAGGACUGUGCUAAUCCAUGUUACAAAUAUGUUGUUGUGCCGACUAAUUUGUGCUAAUUCUGAAAAUAUGUGCGUCUAAUCGCCAAUAAUAUCAUGUGUAAAACCAAAAUUUCAUCGUUCUUGAGGACAUGGAAGCGCUUAUUCUGUGCUUUUCCUGCUGAUAUGCACUUCAGUAUAUGAAAAUGUACACUUGAUGUGGUGUUUAAAUUUUCAACUCACACUUAUAGAGACGUGCAGUGCACCAGCCAACUGGCGCAAGCUGUACAUUGACGGCAUACAGUUUCGGUCUUCCAGUCAACAUAAGUUAUCAUUCGUACUAGUCCGUUUUUCUGUGACACAUUAGCACGACUUAAGAGGCACACCCAUCUACGUGCCAGUUGCCUGAAUCAGGAGGGCGAGGAAGCAGAAUUCCGCUGUGUAGCGCAACAGUGAUAUAUGUCUGCACGCGCUAUGCAGGUGGAGGAGAAGCAGUUCGCGUGGAAGUUCCGUGUCUCUGAUGUCUGAGAAGAAAGCUCUUACAGAAUUUUCGUCCGCUUGGUGGACUGGAGCGACAUCCAAGUUAAUUAUAGUGUCCAAUCAUCCCUAUAUUUCAGCGUUUCUUCUGCUUUGUACCAUCAUAUUUCAUAUGUGCAUCGGAGGAAAUGUGCAUUCUACAUGAUGGAGUGGACCGUGUCACACAGUCCCCAUUUACAUGGCCAUAGGCAGUGGCUCAAGAAUUUUUCUUCAAGUGUCACUGUUGUUCUAGCUCUCUAUCUUCGAUUUUGUUGAUUCCUUAGUAUGGUUGCAAAGCUAGGCGUCAUCUAAUUUAUUUAGCUAAGCUGAUAAAGAGAAUUCCACAUGGCCCUUUAUUCCAGUUUUCACUGUCUCACAAUAACAACACAUAUUAAGCUCACCAAACUAGAUCCAUACUCAUAACUUACCUUUCAUCAUUGAAUAACUGGAGAUUGCCAAGUUGUCUUUUAUCAUGUCAGUAUAUUAAGUAUUAUGUAUGUUCAUAUGAACAAGAAAUAAUCAUCUGCCAGCAGAUUAUGAGCACUUCUGAGUUCCAUCAUGUACUCAAUCUUAAUUACAGAUGUCAUCAGAAAAGGACAAGAAAGUGACCACUUGCUUCCGGGUCUUCUCUCUUCAGCAAUAAGCAUGUGAUGCAUUCAAGAUUCAACGAAUUCACGAAAACCAAUUGUGUUCCUCCCUACACGGUAGGUGCUGCUCAAGAUGAAUUAUAUUUUGUUGAUACACAGUAGGUGUGUUGUUUCACGUCUAGUCAGUGGAGGUAAUUGUUUAAUUUGCAAUUCUGAACUUUCUGUAGUAUUCAGAAAGAAAAUCUGUAUCAUUUACUAAGGUCACAACCAAUUGAACAUAAUUUUGAAAACCUGCACUGGAUGUUCUGACAUAAAUACAUAGUAUAUUGCUCUACUUGCAAUAUUCUUGAUUACAUGCUCGUGGAAGUUUUUUAGUUGAAGUGCACAUUGUCUAAUAUGUCUGCCGAUGCCUCAGUUUAGCCAUUUAACUAAUUUAAAACCAGCAUAGUUAAUGCCAACGCCUUGUUUAUUUUGGAACUAUCUAUGGCUAUCUGAUCUCAUGAGGGAUAUUGCUUUCCAAUUAAAAUGAUACUUUAUGUAACCUCAUGAGGGCUAGCUAUUGCUAUUACUAACUGCACUAGUCAACUAGGAUAUCCACUCUUCCAUCUUAAUUCUUCUGUUCUUGAACUAGCUAGACCCGUAAGGAGGAGGAUGUGAAGUUGAUACACACCACUACUGAAAUUUUCCUCUUUGCCGAGUGUUAGGCUCUUUGCCAAGUGCACUAAAUCGGACACUCGACAAUACUGUCUUUGCCGCGUACUUAACUCGGCAAAAACAUGAAACUCGGCAAAAACGUGAAACUCGGCAAACAGGCACUUUGCCGAGUGUCGGGGACAAAACGCUCGGUAAAAUAGGAAAACUGGCAAACAAGGCUUUGCCGAGUGCUACACUCGGAAGGGGUCUUUACCGAGUGUCACACUCGGCAAAAGGGGGGGUCUUCACUAAACUGCAUGGUUUUGACUGUAGAGGUUGCAUACGACCUUGGAUGAAGAUGGUCCAAAAAUCAAAGUUGUUCAUUUUGACGAGACGGACAAUUUGUAUGUUGAAAAACUUUUCAUUUUAGGCCAUAUUAAUUGCACUUUUUGGCAUGCCAAAUAUUAAUAUAGUCUCAAAUGACCAAGGUGAUGGCCAUAUUCAUUGCAUAGUUUUAUUAUAAUGUUCCCAAAUCAAACACAUAGGUGCAUCUUGACAUUACCAACAAUGUUGCCAAAUAGAGUUUCCUACUUUUUGUACAAAAAUCAUUUUUCAUUUUCCAAGUGUAAAAAAUGGGUGUUUUUUGUGAAGCAAGUACAAAAAUCAUGGUGCAAAAUGGCACCACUCCAAUUAUCACAGUAAGUAGACCAUAUUUUAUGCACAAUUCCCAAGUUUCAUCGAUAUUCUAGUUUUCUAGCUACUUUCGCACAUUUAAUUAACUUUAUGCCAAUUUCCCGAUAGUAAUUAAAAUUUGAACUGGAAGUGUGUGAUAGCUUGGUCAUCAAAAUUAGCAAAAAGAGAUUCAACCCCUUGUAAUAAAUAGCCAUGUCGACCAUUUUGACCCCGUAUUAAAAAAGAUAGAAAAAGAAUACAAGUUCAAAAAAUGCAAUCCUUUUGCAUGAAGUCCUGUUAUGUGUACUAGUUUUGGAAGGAAAUACCAAACUUUCAAUAUAACAAAUUUGAAAAAGAUCCUUCACAAAACGGGCUAUCGUGUAUGAACAUUAAUGACUUUCAAUUCAAAGGACCAAGGUGAUGGUCAUAUUCAUUGCAUAGUUUAUUAUAAUAUUCCCAAAUUAGACACAUAGACGCAUAUUGACAUUACAAACAAUGUUGCCAAAUAGAGUUUCCUUUUUUACAAAAAAAAAACAUUUUUCAUUUUCAAAGUGUCAAAAAUGGAUUUUUUUUGUGAAGAAAUUACGAAAACCAGGGUGCAAAAUGGCACCACUCCAAGUGUCACCAUAAUUAAACCAUAUUUUAUGCACAAUCCCUGUGUUUCAUGGAUUUUCUAUAUUUCUGGUUACUUUCGCACAUUUAAAUGACUUUAUGUCAAUUCCCGGAAGUGAUUCAAAUUUGAACUGCAAGUGUGUGAUAACACUUUCAUAAAAUUAGCAAAAAAUAUUUUUAUGCACAUAUAUAGUCAUUAUAUGGGAGAACCACUUAGUGUUUUGAGAGAUUCAUCGCCUUGUGAUAAAUCACCAUGCCGUUCAUUUUGACCCCGUUUUGAAAAAAAUGAAAGAAAAUGAAUACAAGUUCAAAAAAUGCAGUGGUUUCGCAUGGAGUCCUUUUAUGUGUACUAGUUACGAGGAAAAAUACCAAAGUUUUCAUAUGACUAAUUUGAAAAAAAAUCCUUCACAAAAUAUGCUAUCGCCUAUGAACAUUCAUGGAUUUCAAGUCAAAUGACCAUGUGAUGCCCAUAUUCAUUGCAUGGUUUAAUAUAAUGUGCCCAAACUUGGAUCAUGGAUGCAUCUUGUCAUUACAAACAAGGCUGCCAAAUACAGUUUCCAACUUUUUUGUAAAAAUAAGUCAUUUCCCAUUUUCUAAGUGUAAAAAAGAGUAUUUUUAUGAAGCAAGCACAAAAAACAGGGUGUAAAAUGGCAACAGUCCAAUUUUCACAAAAAAUAUACCAUAUUUGGUGGACAAUUCUCAAGUUUUAUGAAUUUUCUAGAUUUCUUGCUAUUUCCACACAUUUAAAACACUUCUGAUUUCCCAAAAGUAUUUCAAAUUUGAAAUGCAAGUCUGCAAUUACUCAGUCCAAAUAUUUUUAGAUACACAAGUAUUCACUAUAUGGAAGAACCGCUUAGAUUUUUCAUAUUUUCUUGUGUGUUCACAAUAUUUCUAUUCAUUUUUUUGUGUUUACCGAGUGUUACGCUAAUUAAAAAUCAUGUUUUUUCUGAUUGGUUGAGAGAAAGCACACUCUUCUCAACCAAUCUGAGAACAACAUACGGAAUGAUGACGUGGCGUCAUGGCAGCCGCACAUCUCUUACUCUCUCUUCUAUCUCUCUCCCACUCUCUUCUAAAUCACGAGCGUGUGUCUCAUUUCCUCAUCUCUCUCCUUGUCUUCUCUCGCGGCCACCACCGGCGGGCAGUGGCCGACCACCAGCACCGCCGCGACAUUGCGAGCGCGCCAUGGAGAACAAGGCCCGCAGACAUUCGUCUCCUCCGGCCGCUGACCUCGCCCUUCCGAUGGCACGCCAGAUCAGCCAGUACGUCGAGGUCGUGCGGACGACCGACCGGACUCCCAACUACACGCGCUUGGCUCCGCCGUCUUUGCUCCUCUUCCUGACCUAGCUGUUGCUCCUCUUCCGCAGGUCCUUCUCUUCAUCGAUCACGCAAGCAGCACCACCACCAGCGGUGUAGCUAGCUAGCUAGUAUACUGGUGUGCUAGCUAGUACUCCGAUGUUCUGGCUAGCCGGUGCAAUAGUAGCUCAGGAGGACGGCGAGGAUCAAGAGCAGCAACAGCGCACACGACAAGCAGCAACGGGCACGCGAUGGCAAGCAGCGGUAGCAGUCGGCGCCUGCAUUUGACCACCAAUGGAUAUAGGACGGGGUCAGGCGGCGCUAUUUUUUUUUCUAUUUACUCCCUUUACCGAGCGGUACUCUCGGUAAACUACCUUGCCACAUAGCUACAACACCAUUUGCGCCGUCCCGUCUGAUCGCUUUUUUUGCCGAGUGACCGUAUUUGAAACUCGGUAAAGACUUUGUCCAGUGUUUGACAAGUGGAUCUCGGCAAAUUUUUGUUUGCCGAAAAGGGGUACGCCGAGUGUCCUUUGCUGAGUACAACACUUGGCAAAGGCUUUGCCGAGUGUUUGUGGCACCCACACUCUCAGGUUUUAUGGUCUCUACCUUAGGUUGCUUAUUUUGCAUUCUGUGAAGAACAAAUGUGGUAUAGUAUGAGAGCAUGUAAAGGNNNNNNNNNNNNNNNNNNNNNNNNNNNNNNNNNNNNNNNNNNNNNNNNNNNNNNNNNNNNNNNNNNNNNNNNNNNNNNNNNNNNNNNNNNNNNNNNNNNNNNNNNNNNNNNNNNNNNNNNNNNNNNNNNNNNNNNNNNNNNNNNNNNNNNNNNNNNNNNNNNNNNNNNNNNNNNNNNNNNNNNNNNNNNNNNNNNNNNNNNNNNNNNNNNNNNNNNNNNNNNNNNAACACCCUGCUGCCAGCAACUCCUUUUCCGUACCUAGCACAAUGAUUGUUGGAUUGAUGUAGCGAUUUUUUGCAACCACUCAAAGGACAUAAAAAUAAGGAAAAAAUUGGGAACUUAUUUAAAAUUAACUAGCUAGUGGUGUCUGUGAAGUUCAAGAAAAAGCUGGACUUUUUCUUGACAACAAGUUAAUGUCAAAGAAUUAAUAAAUGUAUUUGCAAAAAAAGAAAGCAAACCGAAUUAACGAUAAAACUGGUUUAGGUUUUCACUAUAGACAAUGGUAGUAGUCUGAACCAGAUACAAACCAAUAAAAAACAAGAUCUCAAAUCUCCAACCAUUAAAGAGUUGUAUGUUAGUCCUUUCUUAUGUUCAACCCAAAUUUUACAAUAACACUAUUAUACUUAAAUCUUGAUUAUUGCAAUACAUAAAUAAUUAAUUAAUGCACCAGCUUGCGGUUGUAACCAGACAAGAUGAACCUAUGAACUUGCAAGAAUGGCAAUCGGAUCGACAUCCACACAACACCGGUAUGAACAUUGUCUAGAUCAAACUUUAUUUGUAUUUUAUUUCAUAAUUUAAACUCGUUUGUGCGGAUCACACAUGACAUUGUGUGACACUUUAUUUGCCACCGCUACAUCGACAUGCCCAUCGACUAAGCAACGGCGAUCCAACUAUAUAUUACUAGAGAUAUUUUCUUAUCAGUAGGCACCAACUUGGGUGCCAACGCCGAAUGGCACACUAGUGGUGGUGCCGUACACCGGCACGUUGACACUGCACAUCAUUGGCAGGGUACGGAGUGCAAUGGAAGUCAUCAACUCAAGUUGAGCUAUUUGGUGUGGCUGCAACAAGGUACCCUGUGGUACCUGUUGUUGUUGAGGCCAUUGACCCAGUUGUUGUUGUUGAGGUCGUUGGAAAGAACACUGUCCGAGCUGCUUCUGUUGUUGUUGGGGUUGGGAGACACCUUGGACCGACUGUUGGGGUUGUUGCUGCUGAGGUUGGUUGAAACCCUGACCAUGUUGUUGUUCUUGUAGGACGAUCGAGUAGAUGAUGGCACGGAUUGCAUCAUAGCGUGAUUGUUCGGGGAUUCGCGGCAGCUGCUGGCAAC